UGGAUGUUGAAGGAUGUACAAGGUUGCGUGAAAUUCACCAGUCUUUGCUACGUCACAAUAAGCUGAUCUUGUUGAAUUUGAAAGGUUGUACAAGUCUUACAACUCUUCCGGGUGAGAUAUUUAUGAAAUCGCUUAAAACACUUGUUCUUUCUGGUUGCUUGAAAUUGAGGAAACUUCCACGCAUUGUCGGAAGUAUGGAGUGUCUACGGGAACUUCUUUUGGAUGAAACUGAUAUCAAAAAACUGCCUUUAUCUAUUGAGCUUCUAUCCAAACUUGUCUUGUUGAAUUUGAAGGAUUGCAGAAAUCUAGAGACUCUUCCAAUUACUGUAAGCAGCUUAAAAUGUCUAAGAACUCUAAAGCUCUCUGGUUGCUCGAAAAUAGUGAAAUUUCCAGAGACUGUGAUAAGUGUGGAAGAUCUGUCAGAGCUCUUUUUAGAUGGAACUUCUAUCACAGAAGUGCCAUCAUCUAUAGAGCUUUUGACCAAACUUCAAUGGUUGAAUUUGAAUGACUGCAGAAGUCUCGUGAGACUUCCUAGCAGUAUAAAUGGUUUGAAAUCCCUCAAAACUUUGAAUCUCUCAGGCUGCUUCAAACUCGAAAAUGUGCCUGAGACGCUUGGGCAAGUAGAAAGUCUGGAAGAACUUGAUAUAAGUGGUACAGCUAUAAGGCAACCUCCAUCGUCGAUUUUUCUUAUGAAGAAUCUUAAAGAACUAUCUUGUCGUGGGUGCAAAGGAUCACCAUCAUCUGCAUCAUGGUUUCUGCGCUUCCCUGUCAAUUUGAUACGAAGGAGUUCAGAUCCGGUGGCUUUGAGUUUGCCGUCUUCUCUGUCAGGUUUGUGUAGUUUAACGAAAUUGGAUAUCAGUUACUGUGAUCUAGGGGAAGGAGCAAUCCCAAGUAGUAUUGGCGACUUAUGCUCAUUAGAAAAGUUACAUCUGAGUGGAAACAGUUUUGUUUCGCUACCGGCAAGCAUCUACCGUCUUUCUAAUCUUCAGGGGAUUAAAUUAGAGGAAUGCAAAAUGCUUCAAAAUCUGCCUCGACUUCCAGCCAGUAUACGUUGGAUUUCGUUAGACGGUUGUGUUUCGUUGGAAACAUUAUCAGAUGUAUUAAAUUUAAACGAGCAUCGACUCCCGCACUUAGGCCUUCAUUGUGUGGAUUGCUCGAAAUUGGCUGGCAACUAUGAUUUGGCGCUUUCGCUGCUAAAAGAGUACAUUAAAAAUUCUGAGGUCAGUCUCUCACUCUCACCUGUGCUAACAUUAUGCCUAAAACUGAUGCAAUACAUGUUAUGUCUUUUUAUUUUAUUUAUUUACUCACUUUUUUUUUUGUGGGGUUGCAGAAUAUGUCAUUGUCGGACAAGUACAUUAAACUGAGAGAGGUCAGUUUCUUACACUGUCUCUCACCUGUUGCUAAAAUCAUGCCUAAAAAUUAUGCAUUGGUUUGGCUUUCUAAUAUAUAUAUAUAUAUAUAUAUUUGUGGGGUUUAGCAUUGUUGGAGAGGUUUUAGCAUUGUUGUUCCUGGAAGUGAAAUCCCAGAGUGGUUCGAGUAUCAGAAUAAUGAGUGAUAUGCUAUAAGGCAACCUCCAAAGACGUAUAAGAAUAGUAAGCUUGUGGGAUAUGCUAUGUGCUGUGUUUUUCAUGUCCCUAAAUAUUCACUUCCUUAUUAUCAUCCGAACUUUCCAUAUCCCGUACAUUAUCUGUGUGGCUGGCAUACCGACUGGUAUGGUUAUGGAAUUUCGUUUGGAAAGCAAUUCGGUCAGGCUGUGUCGGACCAUCUUUGGCUAUACUACCUGAAUAGGGAAGAGGUGUGGCGAUACUACCAUAAUAUUUAUAAAGUGAAAUUUUCUUCGCCGUCGGUAUUGGUGCUGAAGAGGUGUGGUGUCCAUCCAAUUUAUGUGCAUCAAGGGGAUAAGUUCAACCAAACAACUGAUCCGGUUUGGAAUUUGAACGAAUUUGGUCACGAUUGUUCAGGAUCAACAUCCUUUACGCGUAGCCUUAAUGAUGACUUAGACAGGGCAGAAGGCAGUGGAAGUUGCUGCGGGGAUGAUGCAGGAUCAACAACGUCGUCUGAGCGAAGCUUUCUAAAGCGAAGUCUUGAAGAAUAUGUUGGGGCGGCUGAAGCUAGUGGAAGUGGCUGCUGUAAUGAUGAUGAGGAACCACAACCUAAAAGAUUUAGACAACUUGAAUGAAGGGCACAUAUUUUAUUUUUCUCUGCAGAUCGCAUUUCAUUUACUUUCUUUGUAUUUAUUUAUUGUAUCUGUUCUUGUUACUUAUUUCCCUGUUAAAUUACCAGAAAAUGCCUGGCUUGGGUCAAACAGUUGGACAGAUGUUUUAUUACUCUGUUUUUCCUGCAAAAGAUGCCGUACAUAGAUGCGGUGAGCGCGAGUUGUUUGGUAUACUUGAAGGGGCUCGGGACCACAAUGACCAAAUUAUUUAAUGUUGUGUGUUAAAUAUUAAAAUAUGCGGAUAGCUUAUCACUUUUGAGACCUAAAAGUAUUUAUUUAAUGUUAGGGUGAUUGAAAAAAAAUUGACGAAUUACCAUUAAACAAGCAACAAAAUAACAAAUUCUUUGAAAAGAAAUUAUAUAAUAGAAAGAAGAAAUUCUCACCCGAAAACAGUUUGCAGGCAACCUACCAUUGAUAUGAACAAUCAGUUAUAAAAUUAAGCAAAUAUAAAACGGAUACUCAAAAAUUCUUAUAAAAUUUGUUUUCUUCUUUUAGUAGUUUGAGGAAUGAAGAUGGUAUCUUUUUUUUUUUUUUUUUGUGUUUUAAGGGAAGACGGUACCUAGAUAUUGAUAAAAGAAAAAUCCUUUAGAGUCGGGAUAAAAGUCUUACCAUCAAUAAUAGGAGUUAAAUAUGAGAAUCAUCACCCUUAAUUUAAGUUUAAAAGGUAAGUAAUUAUGCAACAAGUCAUUUAGAAGUUGUGGUACUUUUUCAUACUUUAAAUUAUUUUUGUCUAGUCAAUUAAAUAGAUAUUUUUUAAGUCGCCAAAAAAAUAAAAAAAUAUUUUGAAAUUAAAAAUGAUAGGUGCUAUCUAUAGUUUUACAAUUUUGCAGUUAGUGGUAGAAAUAUAAUAGCAUUGUAACAAAUAUAAUUAGCUAGUAAUAUUAUUUCAACAAUACUUUAUAUAAAGAUAUUCCAUAAGGUCUUAUAGCAAUUUAUAUCAUAAUUAAAUGUUGUAUGAAUUUAAUUGUAAAACCAUUAGUACUUGAACAAUAAUGAUUAUAGAAGGCAUUGUAAUAAGUUAUUUAAUACACAUUAUUAACAAUACUAGAUGAAUCUGAAACAAAUGAGAAAUAUUUUCAUCCAUAACUAGAAUUGAAAAAUGUAUGUGUCUAUAUAAUUAGACAAUAGCUUGGAUAUAUAUUUUUAGAGUUAAAUUAGAAAAAAGGACACCCAGAAUCCCAGAUAUCUCUAACUCUGUAACUCCUUUCUUUGAAAACCAAGAAAAAAAAAAAUGUUCCAGUUUGCCUUUAGCCUCUCCUCCCAAGUUGUCGGGCAUGGACUUGCUUUCGCUUCCGAAAGGAAAAAAUAAAAUAAAUAUAUGUAUAUUAAAAUAUUUUUAAUCUUCAAAAAAUAUUUUAAUACUGUACAGUAUUAAAUUAUAUUGAAUUAAAUUUUAUAAUGGAUAUAAACAGAAUAUUAAAAUAAAUAUAUAAAGAUUCGAAUUAUUUUAAAUUUAUAUAAAAUAAUUUAAAUAUUAUCGAUACAUGAGAUUUUUUUAUUAGUUGUAAAAUCUAUUUAACCCAAAUAUUUAUUUUAAAAAAUUUAUAUAAAAUAAUUUUAAUAUUAUCAAUAAAAAGAUAUUAUUAAAAUAAUAUUAUAAUUUACAUUUUAAAAAUUAUUUUAUACAUAUUACAAAUAUUCCAUUAUUUUUAGUCUAUUAGACAAAAUAAACUACUUAAAGUAUAUUUGUAUUUAUUAAAAAUAUUUUAACGUUAAUUUUUUUUAGUUACUACCUAUGAAGGGUAUUAUAGCCAAAAGGGAGUUUAGGUAUCAUUUUCCUUUUAAGUUAUUUUAUCUUAAAUUUUUAAUACAAAAUUGAAAUUAUUGAUUUCAUGCAAAUCAAUUACUAUGGUGGAUGAUUUAACAUCGUAAAAUUUUACAUUGAUUUUCAAUAUCAACCAUUAGAUUGAGAGAGAUUAAUGGCUCAUUUUUUGCGUCAAAAUUUAAGUUAAAAUAUCCCAAACCAUGCUUUUAUAACGAGAAUAUAAAAUAAAUAGAUAAUAUUUUUCCUGUUCAUUCCCAUGAAUAUUAUUGGAGGUAAUAUUUACUUAUUAUAUUAAUUACCAUCAUAAAAGCAAUCAGCCUUUUAGUGACAUAAAAUUUUGUAACCACAAUCAAUGAAUAUUAACAAAACAAUAUUUCAUGAUUCAUAAAUUAUAACUAAUUAAGAAUAUAUGUUAAUUUCAAAUUUAUGAAAUCAACAAAGUGACAUUGGAAAAUUAAAUGAAAAUAGGCUUGUAAAACUUAAAUUUAUAUUCCUACCAUGUAAAAGUAUUCACUGUAACAUAAUCCCUAAUUUCAUGGUAUAUGUUGUGCUAAAUUGGUGUUAAAAAUAAUAUACACUUCAUGAUUAAUCACACAAUGGUCCUUAAUAAUAUACAAAAUAGUGAGCAUUAUGUUAAAUUUUAUUAAAGCGUGAAAAAGGUGAAGAAUGACAGAGGCAGCGGCCGUAGACGGUGGACGUGAGAUAGCUUCGGGUUUUGAUAUUUUGCUGACUUUUUCUUCUUUUUUUUUAAUGAAAGUAAUUGAUGAUGGAGGGAGGAUUUGUGUAUGGGGAAUGGUUGAUGGUCAGGAAAGCUCUGCCUAAUACAAAGAAAGACUCUGAUGCCACUUGACGCAUUGCAAAAGUGAUACUAAAUUUCAUUUUAAUGUACGUUCUUGAAAAUUCAAGAAAGAAGGUUAUCACGAAGAAGAAAAUAUAUCAAUUAAGAAAUAUUAAAUAUUAUUGAUGAGAAACUUAUAUGUUAUAAUGAACUAUCAGUAACAAGCCUAUAUAUACUAAGUAGCCAACUUAAUCUUAAUCCUUCUUAAAUAAGAGAAAUAAUCUAAAAUUCUAAUUAGAUUAGAAUUCCAAACAUGAUCGAAUAAGUUUAAAAAAUAAGAUAAAUUCUAAUAAAAUACUAAAUACCCAAAUAUUAUAAUUCCUAAUAAAUUCUAAUUUAUUUUAUCUAAUAUGCUUCCUAUAUUACUCCAUCGCUAUGUUGUCUGAAUCGAUGUCUCUUUUUAUCAAUAAAAAACGCUUACUCAUCAUCCUUUACUAAGGCCCCACUCAAUUGCUUGUCAAUUACUCCUUGAUCAGCAAGCAAGUUUUCAAAUUUCUCAAUGGUUGGUUGAGUUGGACAACCUUAGAUAGUUGUAACAAAGCUCUUAAGCUCAAGCCUCAAACCAUUGACAAUAAUUCUCUUUAUUCUAGAUUUAGAAAUUGUAGCAACAGAAUCCAACCCAUAAAUUUCACAACAUAGGGAUUUUAACUUGUUUAAGUACUCGUCAAUCGUCAUGUUUCAUUGUGAAAUUGAUAGUAGCUCAUUUUUCAGAAGUUGUAGCCAUAUGUUAUUCUUCUUUGAAAAACUCAUUGUAGAAGUAUCCCUAGUUUUCUUAGGUAUUUUAACAUUUUUUAUGUGUUGCAGCAUUUCUUCUUCAAUUGUAGUCUUGAUGGCGAACAUGGCCUUCUAGCUAUAAUGUUCCACUUCUUUAAAGUGGCAUCCUCAGUUGGUGGUUGCAUAUCGUUACCACAAACAAUCUCCCAGAGAUCUUGACCUUGUAAGCAGGACCCCAUCAAUGUUGCCCACGUAUUGUAAUUUUCCUUGUCGAGCUUUUUAAUUCUUCCAACUACUUGAAGGUCACCCAUCAUGUUUCCAAGACUUUAACAAUGCCAAGCUAGCUUGAUAUUCACUAACGAACUUGCAAAGUUCCAAACAAAGUACUCUAAAUAAAGAACUCCACUUCAAAUCUGAACCCAACUGCCUUUUACUCAAUAGAUUUUGACAAGCCCAUUCCGUUAGAUUAAGAGAAAAGAAUUGAUGGCAUUGCGCCACCGGGAGGAAUUGGUUCCAAAGUCUUUCUAAAAAUUGUACGAUCAGCAAUCCUUAGAAAAAAGUGAUAAACUUAUUGUAAAUUGUAAAUGGUACUUGAAGAGGAUAUGUAUUUUCGCUUGUUGAGGUUCUUAUUGAAUUUGCAUAGAUUUUACUUGAAUAGCACGGGCGCCUUCUAAGUUCGAGUUAUUCACGUUGCAAACCCUAUUUGGGAUUACAGUUGAGAUGUUAUAAAUAAAUUAUUUUAUAAGUUUUGACAAUAAUAGUGCUUGGUAAAUAUUUUAAAAGUGGCUUGUUUUAUAAUUUUCACUACUUUGAUAACAAUUUUAAAAAGUAGGUGCUAGAUAGGAGUUGCAUUUUACAAGUAGUUUAUUAGAAAAGCCGUUAACCUUUUAAAGUUUUUAUUAUAAACUAAAUAUUUUGACAAAACGAUAAUUAUAUCAUAUUUUUCAAUAAACCCUGAUAUAUAUAUAUAUAUAUAUAAGACUAUUUAAACUUAUAUCUACUUUGAUUAUUAUAUACAUUGAAACAACACUAUCAUAACAAAAUUUAUCGAAUUGAUAUACUUUAUUUUUCAAAUUCACAACGACAUAAUUUACGAAAUAUUGAAUUAUUUUUUAAUUAACAAUUUAUUUUAACCGCAUAGGGAAUAGGGAUGGCAAUGGAUUGGAUUUGAUCCAAGAUCCAUGUGAUCCAAAUCCAAUCAGAUCGGAUUUGGAUCGGUUUAAAAUGGAUUUGGAUCGGAUUUGGAUAUCGAUGUGCGGAUCUAAGACGGAUCUGGAGCGGAUAUGGAUCUAUCUUAAUAUCUAAAUCCAUAUCCAUAUCCACUCAUCUUUUAAUUUAAUUUUAUUUUAAAAGUUUCUUAAUAAUUGUGGAAUGAUAAUGAUAAUAAAUUUUAUUCAUAGCAUAUUAGUAGUAUUUACCAUGAAUUUAAACUCUUAAAACUUAAAGGUUAGUUUUGUAAAUUUAAAGGUCAGCCAGCCUCAAAGCAUGUACAUGCAAUAUUCAAAUUGCAAUCCAAGUAAUAUAACCUGGUAAUUUAUUUUAUCAUAUUGGCCUAAUAAUUUUUAAGGAAUAUAGUUAUUCAUAUAUUUAGUCAAAUAUGGUCAUAAUAAAAAUAAUAAAUGACUGAAUAUAAAUCAUAUUUAAUUUAUAUGUCAUUAUCUAAUGUUGUAGGAAUGAUGGUAGGUGUAUCGUGGAUACUAGAAUGACGAAGGAGACAAUAGAAUAUUAGAUUGAUCUUACUCCUGCAAUUACUUCUGAAUGAUAUUUUAUUAUCUUUCUUAUUUGUUGUUUUGGUGUAGAAGUAUAAGCUACAAUAUUUAUUAUAUUUUUGAGAAAAAUUAUAUAAUUUAUUUGUUAUCAAUACAUUUUAGCCUCCAAUUUUCAAUCUAAAAAAUUAUUACUUUUUUAUUACGGAAUUUUAGAAUUCAUGACGGAUCUAGAGCAGAUUUGGAUUUUAAUAUUUUUUUGGAUUUGGAGCAGAUAUAGAUAUUUAUUUCUUUUUUGGAUCUGGAUAUGGAGCGAAAAAUAUGGAUUCAUAACGGAUCUAGAGCAGAUACGGAUCUUAAUUUUUAUUAUGGAUUUGGAUCUGGAGCAGAGUAGAUCCAACCCAUAUCUGCCCCAUUGCCAUCCCUAAUAGGGAAAAUAACUUACCAUUUUAGUUACCGCAAUUUGGUCAUAGCACCUAUUUUCAUGUGCCAUGAUCAAUGAUCAUAUCACGUAUUUGACCAAAAAUAUUUUCGAUAAACAAUUAUAUUGUUUAUGUUGUCUUCACUGUGAGCUAAAGCUUCAUCAAGUACCCUUCCCAACCCUUUUAAUCUUUCAUCUUGAUGUUGGAAUCUUGUUGGCCUUUGCGGCCUUGUUGAAUUUAACCUCGCUUGUUUAAUUUGGGUUUUCUGACUUUGGUUGAGCCUUGUUGAUUCUUUUCUGCGGAGUUGGAAUAUUGCCCACCCCCAAUCUUUUCAUUAAACUUUUUUUUUUCAAACCCAACUUCUACAUUCGAAUUUUAAAAAGUAUGUGUUAAUAAAAAAACAUUAUGUUAUUUUAUUAUUGUUAAAAUUCAAAGUAAUAGUCUUUUUUUUCAACUACACAUAAAUUAAAAAAUUGUCUGCGUUCACUUGAAUGACAGAUAUUUUAAAUUAUAAUUUGAGUUAAAUUGUACAGAUUUGAUAAAAUGUUCUUGAGGAAUAAUUGUAUGAUUCCCAUGCUCUCAACAUGUUUGAUAAAAUGCCCAAGUAGGAACCAUGCCAUCCCAAUUCCGAGCUGAAGUGUUGAACAACGAGAUGAUGAUGAUACAUCUGCGGCGUCACCUCUACGAUUUCCCGCCCAAAAGCAAUCAAUCAACAAGGUCAAUUUCCUAAGCUGUUGAGUAUGAUUCAAUAAUAUAAAUUUAGAGUUGUGUGUAAUCAUAAAUUCUAUAACUUCUCAGGGGUGUGUUUUGGUCAGGAUCGGAGGUGAGAGGUGUGACAUCCAUCCAGUUUAUAUGGAGGAGUUUGACAAAACUACAAUCAAAUGGAAUCGCUUUACCACUUGUAAUCUGAAUGGAUCCCUCAAUUUUUUUUUUUUUUUUUUUUUGGCAUCAAAGAUGGUUGUAGCAACAAUUUCAAGGCGAAGCCUUAUUGCAUAUGUUGAGGUGAUGAGGAACCACAACCUCAAGGAUCCAUUUAGUGAACUCAAAUAAAGGGAGAAGCCUGCUUACUAUUCUCUGUAUAUUUCAGUAAGCAUGCAUCUUCAAUUUCAGUUGGCAAUUUUUAUUUUAUACAUGUUAAAUUACCACAAAACCAAAAUAUCAUCUCCAAAGUUGUUACCUUCCAUGAAUUGAAAAUGCUUUCAUGCUUGAUCAGAUUGUUUAAGUAUGCGUUCCUAAAAUAUACAAAAGUGCUCAGGAAAAUGGCACAGAAUAAUUAGUGUAUAAUAAAGUUUAUUUUUGGUAAUUUUUGAGAUGCAUAUGGUUUUAAAGUUCUCUUCAAAUAGCUGGACUUGCCGUAUACUAUAAUAUUGUUUACUAAGGCAUAACUAUCUUAUCCUUUUUUUUUUAUCUAUCAUUAAUAUUUACAUUUUUAUUAUUUCAUUAAUCUUAUUUAAAUUUACUUUGUAUUUGUAGAUAUAAUUUAAGAAUAUAAUAUUACUGUACUUACAUUUCCGUUUCGUAUAUAAUUUCCUGGAAGAUGCUCCAACAUCAGUUUUGUCGUUAUUAAAUAAACAAAAUAGGAAAAAAAAAAAGAUACAACAACUGAUGCUCCCAUUCACAAAGAACCAGAUAAUGUACAAGAGGCACUAGAUGACUCCAGACGGCUGCAAGCUAUGAAAGAAGAAUAUGAUGCUUUGAUUAAGAAUAAUACAUGGACAUUAGUUCCAAGACAGACAAGCUGGUCAUCACAUUGCUAACAAUAAAUGGGUGUGAAGGAUCAAGUAUAACAAAGUUGGAAGUGUAGCUAAGUAUAAAUUCAAGCUUAUUGCUAAAGAAUUUUAGCAAGUGGUAGGGGUGAAUUACUUUAAAACAUUUAGUCCAAGGGUUAAAUUAGCUAAUAUUAGAGUGGUGCUGAGCCUAGGAGUGAUGAACUAAUGGAAAAUAAGGCAAGUUAAUGUUAACAAUUCCUUUUUUAAUGGAGAGUUAACUGAGGAGGUACUCAUGUGUCAGCCGGAAGGCUUUAUUAAUGCUGAGAAACCUGAAUUUGUGUGCAAAUUGCACAAAUGUCUAUAUAGACUCAAACAAGUUCCUAGAGCUUAGUUUGAUAAGCUGAAAAGUUGUUUAUUGCAUUGGGGUUUUAUUACUACUAAUUUGGAUACCUCUCUUUUCAUCAGAAGAAACACUCAUUACAAGUCCAAGUACUAUAAAGUUAAAAAAGUUUUAUAACUCAGUUCAGUAAAGCAUUUGCCUUAAAAGACCUAGGAAUAUUAUCUUAUUUCCUUGGAAUUAAAGUGUUGUAAGAAGCACAUUGUGUGUAUUUGUCACAAAGAAAAUACAUCAGAGAUCUGUUGUUGAUGGGUGUCGAAGCCAACAAAAAUAAAUUCCUACUCUAAAUAAAUUGUGUAUAGUGAUUGAGCAGGGUCGUAUCCACAGAGAUCGGUAAUUAUUUAAAUCCUUUUGAAACGUAAAACGUAAAAUGGGGGAAUUGUUGACAAUAAUAAAAAUCAAAUUAAAAAUAACAAGAAUGCAAAUUAAAGUCGUAAUUCAAAUUGGAGAAAGCUCUGGUUGAAGGAAUUAACUCAGCUUGAUUCGAGUACUGAUCAUUGAUUCAAAUAUAGAUUAUUAUUACUCAUGAAUAGACCGGUUAUAGCUACUGAGACCCUCUAAUAGCCAAUCUCUCCUUAACUAGUCGAUAACCAAGGUACGACCGUUGGUUAUUUCCCUAAUCAAUAGACAACCCUAGAUACGAUCAUAGGAUUUAAUCAAUUGACAGCCUGAAAAACCAGAGAGACCCAAAUCCUAAUCAACACAUAUGAUGAUUCAUUUAAAUUAGAUUGUUUAUUCUCACAACACAACUCUCUGCUAUGUUAUUUGUCACAAACAUUAAAUUCUUCAUACGAUGAAUCCUUUAAUUGACAAUAGAUUAAGUUGAUAAUUAAAUAGUGGCCAAUUACCUAAUUAACAAACACAAUCAUGAAAAUAAUUCAGAGAAUAAACAAAUACCCAAAAAGUAAUAAAACAAUUAAAGCACAAGAAAGAUCUCACAGUAGUGAUGAAUCAAAGCUUUAUUAACCUUCAACCAGAAAAAUGGGUUUAGUUCCUCAUAGAGAGAAGAGAAAAAUUAGAUCUAGGGUUUCUUUUUCUCCAAUCUAAAUCCCCCCUUUUUCACAAUAGAUUCCUCCCUUAAAUACUCUCUCUCUCUUCUCUUUUAGAGUUCUAUUUAAAAUAAAAUACUAAUAUCUAAAAUAUUAAAUUCGUAAUUACAAAAAUAACCAAAAAUACAAAACACGUUAAACUAAAAACUGCAGGUCCGCAGUUGACAGCACGCGCCCACGCCUUAUCAAUAAAGUUCUUCUGCCGCUCAUAAUUUCUCCAAGAGAACAAUCAUCCUUAAAAAUCAUCUUGUAGCUCAAUUUUAUCACCAAUCAAUAGAAUUGCACCUACAAAAGUAAAACACAAGUAAAUCAUUAUUAUUAAGUGCAAAACAUUGAUAUUAAGGGAAGUAAAUAAUGCAAAACUAGUGCAUAAAUUGCACUCUAACAAAUUCCCCCACACCAAGAUGAUGCUUGUCCUCAAGCAUAUAACUCAAGAUUAAUCUCAAAUCUCCACUCAAUUCUCAUCUCAACUCAUCCAAAAACAAUUUUAAGCAAGCAUACCUCAAGAAAUUAAGUCGUUCAUCAUUCGAGAGACAAGGAUUUUAAAGCAUAGAAUUUCAUAAGAUAGAUUAAGAGCAUUCAACCACCAAGAAGAUCCAUUCAAAAUUCAAGUGCAACAAGAUUUAAUAACCCUCUCAUUGACUUCACUCCAUGCACUCAAAGUGUUUAGGGUGUCAUUUAUGCACUCAAAUCAAAUCAAAGAAUGCUAUUACCAUAAGCUUGCUUAUAUAUCACAUCUCAAUCCACAAAACAUGAAUAAAAUACAAAAAUCUAAGGGUCUUAAAAGGGUUGUAAUGGGGUUAAAUGAAAAAGAAAGGUUUACGAAAGAAAAAGAGAUCAAAACGAGAAGAAUGAACUCAUUGAAUGAACUUAUGAUAUCAAAAUGCUUAUUUCUACUCAAGUCACCAAGAAUGUAAACAUUUUUUUUUUUCGAUUUUUUUUUCUUUUUCUUUUUCUUUUUUUUUUCUUUUUUUUUCUUUUUUUUUUGUUUGUUUUUUUUUUCGAAUCAAACAAAAGAAACGAACCUUGCACAAUUGAAUUCAAGCAUAAUGCUUGUUGAUCUAAUUGAGAAACUUCAAUACAAGGUAGAAAAAGCAACAAAAUAUAUCCACACAAUGAGUCCAAAAAUCUCCUUAAAUUGAGGCUAAAAAAGAAGAAAAGUUGUUAAGUAGACGGAGAGAAUUAGAUGGGUAAUGGUUAAGGCUCAAACAAAGGUAGCAAAUAAAGGUCUUCGGGUAGAGAAAAAGGAAAAUGCGAGAAUAGAAAAAUGGUAAAUGGUUUGCCCUUAUCAUUUUAAUGCCUAAAAUCCCGUAAUGUGGCUUCAACAUGCAUAACAAAGCAAGUUCUAGAAUAAACAAACUAGGAUUGAUAUUCACAUAACAAAAAUAAUUAGAGCAAAAUGGUUGCUCAUAGGCUCAAAUCCUCACAAAGUUGGUAAAUUUGUCAUCAAAUCAUGUACACUCUUCAAAUGAAUCAACCAUCAAUAGUGGUGUAGAAUGAGAAGAAGGUAUGAGUGAGAUAUAAAAGGAAAGGUAAAAAAGGAUAAUAAGCGAGAAAGAUGUAUGUAGUAAAAAAAUGAAAGAUAAAAUGUGAGUGAUGAAAGAGUAUGAUAGGAAAAAAAAAUAGAUGUAAAUAAUUUGAGAUAGAUGGGAAAAAGGUAGUGAGAAAGAAAAGAAAAGAUAAAAUAAUAAUAUAUAAAGCAUACUAACUCCAAAAUCAUUUAAGGAUGAGUAGAGUGAAAAUAAAUGAGUAGAGUGAAAAUACUACUUCCAGACAUCAAUAAUGCAAAAAUCCCUCCCCCACACCAAGAACUUACAUUGUCCCCAAUGUAAGAUAAUCAAAGCUCACAUAAAAAUUAAAGCGUAAGGAUAAAAGUUUAAGGGCAAAAAGAAACUUCCCUGAAUUGUGAGUUUUGGUCCACAUAACGUCUAUGGGCUUGGCGGAAAUGGUGGGGUAAAUCCCACACUCUCGAAGUAUGCGGCCAAAUUCUGCUCCAUUUUGUUCAACUUGUGCUCCAUUUUCUCUAACUGAAUGCUCAAAGGUGGUGCGGAUGUAGAAGGAAUAGUUGGCGGGGCAACAGUGUCGUCGUCAAACUCGUCAUCAGAGGUAGCACCACUCCUAGCAUAAAGCUUCUUCGGAAGUUGAGUGGGUCCUGGUUCAGUAAACUGAAAUCUCCCCUCCUUGAAUUCGACCACACCUGUUCUUUCAAACACAGACAUAUCCAAAAAUUCCUUUUUGCAAGCAGGAUGCAAAUCAUUAUUGUCAGGAUCAAGCACACAUAGGUUUAUAGCUAACAGAGUAAUGUAUGGACCAAGAAAUAAAGUCCUAUACCGUUUAAGCACACUUUGAAAUUGAUCCGCUAACCAAAAACCUAAAUUAGGCCUCACAUCAUUUAACAUGCACCAGAUAAAAUAAAAUUCAGUUUUAGAGAAAAUUCCUGAGUGAUCUUUCUUGCCUAAAAAAUUAUAUGCUAAGAAUCGAUGCACACAUUUCAAAACAGGAUCACGUAAGAAAGAACUCUUUGAUUUACUCGGGUCAUAGGCAUUGUGAUCAACAGAUAAAUUACGCCAAAGACCAUAAGGCUCAAAAUUUUCACCAAAGUCACAAGUUGUUCCUAAAUAUUCAUCACUAGUAGAAUGAUCAUCAUCAAUGAAUCCUAAAGCUAGGUUAAAAUCCGUGAUAGAGUGUGAAAAAUUUCGUCCCAUUAACCUAAACUUAAUGACAUCCGGGGUAUGCAAAGUAAAAUCAUUCGGCAUAGUGAAUUGAAAAGUAGCAUAAAACUCCCUAAUCAACUCAACAUAACCCAAGCAAUCAACAUCAACAAACUUACGCAACCCAAUCUUAUCUAUCAAAGAAUCAAAAUUAUCUUUAACAUUUAAUUUUUCAAGAGUCGGGUAAUGAAUAUACUUAGCUGGAAGUAUUUUGCGCGUGGAAAUAUCUUUGUACCUCUCUUUCUCUUGUUGAGUCGCGAAUGCGAGGCACCCUCCGAGAUUGGAUUCCGCAAGUGGCAAAACACUCAUGCCUUUUCCAUGCUUCGAUCUUUGUCUCACGGCUUGGCGUGAAUCUGAAAUUAUGUUCCAUGGAACCGUAGUGGGAGCGGCAAUCUUAGAUUUCUUUGCGACGGGUGUCUUUUUCGACGACUUGGAAGUAGAUGCUUUCCUCUUCGGCAUUGUUACAAUAAUUGCACUCACGGAUUUCGAUUUACCCGGCUGGAAUACAGGGCGUAGGCUGGUUGUGUUGCGCUUGCUGCUCGGCUGGAGCUUGUUGCGCGAGUUGGGGCUGGUUGUGCGCGCUGCUGAGGCUUGCUUUGCGGGUGAUGGCUCAUUGCUGUGCGGGGCUGUUGCGCGAGUUUGGGCUGGUUGUGCGCGCUGCUGAGGCUUGCUUUGCGGGUGCUGGCUCGUUGCUGUGCGGGGCUGUUGCGCGCGAGAGCCAGUUCGCGUUGCGGGUCUGCGUUGCGGAUCUGUUGCGCUGCGCGCGCGGGACUGAUGUGCUGCGCUGAGGCUGAUUCGCGCUGCUGCUGGUUGCGGUGCGCGAUGCUGUGCGCGGCGGCUGGGGCUGAUUCGCGCUGCUCGCGCGGGCUGGGGAUGCUGGAGCUUGCUGCUGGUUCUGGGCGUACUCGUCUGCUGCUGCUGGUUGCGCGGUGAAGGCUGGAGCUGAUGCUGCUGUAAAACGAUAAUCAACAGUAAUUUUUGAAUUAGGGAUUUGUGAACAGUGAUUUUCGAUUUUUGGUUUUUUUUUUUUUUUUUUUUUUUUUUUUUUUUUUUUUUUUUUUAGUGAUGAAUCACUUUGAGACACUAAAAAUUUCAGAAGUACUUUUCUAAUAAGUACGUGGGCACGCCUUAUCAAAAAUUUUCUUCUGACCAAAAUAAGCAAACACAUUAAAUUUCAGAAGUACUUUUCUAAUAAGUAUGUGGGCACGCCUUAAAACUUUGAGACAUUAAAAAUUACAGAAGUACUUAUUAGCUAAGACGUGGGCACGCCUUAUCAACAAAGUUCUUCUGACCAAAAUAAGCAAACUCAUUUUUUUCAUUUUUUUUUUUAAAGAAGAUAAAACAAAAACCAAAAUAAACAAAUCAUUUGGGUUGCCUCCCAAAAAGCGCCUUUGUUUUAUGUCUUUGGCUAGACACAUUUAUGCAUCAAUCUCCAUAAUUGGGACUCUCGAGAGCCACAUCCUCCACAAUAUUCACCGAAAAACCUUCAUAAAAAGGUUUUAAGCGAUGACCAUUAACUUUAAAAACUUUGUCAGAGGUCGGACUCCGAAUCUCAACUGCACCAUGAGGAAAAACAUUAGUAACAAUAAAAGGUCCAACCCAGCAAGAACGUAAUUUACCCGGAAAAAGUUUAAGCUUAGAAUGAAAAAGAAGAACUUUUUGACCAACAGAGAACUCAUUUCUCAAAAUCAUUCUAUCAUGAAAUGUCUUCGUCUUUUCCUUGUAAAAAACUUCCUACGCUAUAGGGUUAAUAACAUCUACAGAAAAUACCGAAUGUUCCUCACUAGGAUAUUUCAUGGCAUCAUUCAUAUUGAAUUCUAUAACCUCUCCAUCAAACUCCAUAGUGAGAGUCCCUUUAUGUACAUCCAUUUUAGUCCUAGCAGUCUUAAGAAAAGGUCUUCUUAGCAAAAUUGGGACAGAAUUAGAGGAGUUAUCAUCUUCCAUAUCAAGUACAUAAAAAUCAGCAGGAAAAACCAACUCAUUAACUUGUACUAAGACAUCUUCUAAUACCCCAUCAGGAUAUGCAUUAGACCUAUCAGCUAGUUGAAUUAUCACGCCAGUUUCUUUUAAUGGACCAACAUUCAAAGAUGAAUAAAUGGAACGAGGCAUGACAUUAAUAGAAGCUCCUAGAUCUAACAAAGCCUUUUCAAUUCUAACACUACCAAUUUUACAAGGGAUAGUAAACAUACCUGGAUCCUUGCACUUAGGAGGUAGUUUCUUUUGGAGAACUGCUGAAACAUUCUCCCCCAUGUGAACUUUUUCAUCUCCUCUUAAUUUUCUCUUGGAGGUGCACAGUUCCUUAAGGACUUUAGCAUAUCGAGGUAUUUGUUUUAUAGCAUCUAAUAAAGGAAUAUUUACCUCAACCUUGCGAAAUGUCUCAAGGAUGUCUUUCUCUUGUUCCUCCUUCUUGGAUUUUGCAAACCGGCUUGGAAAAGGAGGAGGUAUCACAAUAGGUAGGGGUUUCGCUCUGGUGGGUUUUGCAUCUUGAGAUUGAGGCAUCAAUUCAUUCUUCUCAAGCUCAUCUUCUACAUGCUCUGUCACUUUCUUACUAGGCUCUUGCAACUCCUUCCCACUUCUAAGGAUGACAGCACUAACGUUUUGCUUUGGAUUCACCUCAGAUUGUGAAGGCAAUCUCCCUAGUACUUGAGACUCCAGACGGCUCACUGUAGUCGCCAAUUGACUCAUUUGGUUCUCCAAGUUCUGAAUGCUUGCUGUAGUUGCCUGUUGAAAUUGUUGAGUGUUAGUCGCAAGUGAUUUAACAAUUUCUUCAAGAGAUAUACCUGACUUGGAAUUAGGUAUUAUAUGUAUAAUACAAGUAGAAAUCUGCUGAUAUUUAUAGUUAGAAAUCGCUGAAAGGUUCUUUGCCUGUUUCCGCUUGUAGGGGCUGUGUUCAGAAACUGUGAGGGAGAAUAUUUGGGGAUUUCUCUUGUCCAUUACAUGUUGAGACGACUUUUGUUGCUGAACUGUUGGUUGUUAUCUUGGCUAUAGAGCAUGCUUCUGUUGGAGGUUGGACUAUGUUGUGGAUCAACUUAUUUUUGUUUGUUCUGCAAGAAUCAUAACGAGUGAGAAGAUGUCUGGAUUUCUUCACUAUUAAAAAACUACCAGUAUUUAUUUAAUAUGUUUAGACAAGUCACCAAGGUUACUAGUUUCCUGUCUUCAGUGUGUGCAUGUGUAUGUGUAUAUUUGUAUCAACAAUAAGAUUUUUACCAAAAUAGCGUUCAUAUUCAUCUCGUUAUUGCAACAACCAACUUGCCUACGAUUUUCCAAUAAAAUUUACAUGAAAAGAUUUUAUAGUAUAUUGUUUUGUGAAUGAUGUAGUAGAGCAGUGGAGAUCUAGAACUUGACAGGGAGAGGCGGUAGAAUCUGAUCAAUGAAUAUCUACAUACGAAGAGUUACAGACGAAUAUAGAGAAGAGUUACAAACAAUGUAGAUAUAUACAUGAAGAAUAUUAGCCUAGAGAUUAAUCAAACACAUGUUAUGACUUGAUCACUUCCAUUUUGUAGAUAUAUAUAAUGUAAUUUUUUGACACUACGUUACGUUCACGCCAACUUUAACUCACCAACACAAAUCUUUUCUUGUUCUGUUCAACCUGCAGGAUUGAAUCAGACUUUAUUAUGGAGAUUGUCAAUGGGAUAUCAAGUAAAAUUCCUAUAAAAUCAUAGACUCUUAAGGAGGUAGUAGGAAUAGAUUCACACUUGGAGAAGCUUAUCUAUCUUAUGGAUAAAGGGCCUAAUGAUGUUUGUAUGAUAGGGAUCUGUGGUGUGGGAGGUAUAGGUAAGGGGACUCUUGCAAGGGUUGUUUAUGACUUGAUCUUUCAUGAAUUUGUAGUAAGUAGUUUUCUGGCCAUUGUUAGAUAAACCUCAUACAAAGGCGGUCUGAUUUCCUAACAAAAUGGAAUGUAUAUAAUGUUAUCAACAUAACAGGAAGUAGGCUACGACACAAAAAGGUUCUUCGUGUUAUGGCUUACGGCAUUUACAAAGUUUAGCUAGAAAGUUCAGGCAGCAGGAUCAUCAUAACAUCAAGAGAUAAGCAUUGUUGACAACACAUGGAGUGGAUGAAUUGUAGGUCCUGAAGCAAAUACAUUGUGAUGAAGCUCUUAGACUCCCUUGUAUGACAACACAUCUGUGGCAUGAGAGGUAUAGGUAAGUGCAAUGCAUGUAUUUUGAGUUCAUUAUUCUAAAAGUCAAGAAAUGAAAUAUAAAAUUGCUAUCACUAUAUAAUGCAAAGUAAAACAUUUUAUGUAAUGCAGCCUACAUUUUAUUCAUUUUUUUAUGGUACACACAAAAUGUUUUCCUUUGCCCAAGCUAUCAAUUGUACAAUGUAAGCUUUCAAGGAGAUCCUUUGGUCAUAGUUACAGUGAUCCGAAGGGCAUGACUUUGAGCCCUGAGAAAGGUCUGCCCACAUUUGCUCAAUUCAACCUUUGAUCUUAUCUUCAAGACUAUUCCAGAUUAUUCUCAUCUCUUGCUGAAUCACUCUUAUGAGUCAUCUGACAUGCUUGACUCACAGAGGUGUUUCAUUGAGCAUUUUGCUCAUUUUAUCGAACGUUAGUUUUGCUCAACAUUCUAUGCUUUAAAUCUAUGCAUAAAUAAUUUUAUGGACAUCUUCACAUCCUAUUCUUCACUUCUCAUCUGCUUUUAUGAUUUUUAGGGAACUGAAAUAGUCGAAUGCAUGGUACAUGGCUUUUCAGAACUUAAGGUUCAUUCUAGCGCAGAUGCUAAUGCCUUCCGGAUGAUGAACAAGUUAAGAUUGAGCAGAAUUCAGAAUUCGCAACUUCCUCAAGGCCUAGAUUACCUCUCUAAUGAGUUAAGAUUACUUAAAUGGUAUAGGCAUCCACUUAAAAUCCUUUCCACCAAAUUUCCAACUGGAUAAAACUUUCAAGCUUAAGUUGUGUGAAUGCCGCAUUGAAGAAUUGUGGAAGGGAAUCAAAGUAAGAUCACUUACUUUUGUGUUUAUUAGUGAAUAAUUGUUUUAUUUUUUCCCUUUAAAUUUUGAAAUUACUUUCUAAGUUUAUACGAGAAGUAUCGUUGUAAAUUAAGAAAAAUUUCUUCUUGGUCCUUUAUGUUUCCAACAGCCUUUGAACAUGUUGAAAGUCAUGAAACUCGUGCAUUUGGGGCAGCUGUGAAGCCGCUCUCCACCCUAUAUUUUAGGGGAAUAUCCCCUAUAAUAAAACGUGAGCUGCCCCAAACGGAAGCUCAACCAUUCACAGAACCUGAUUAAAACACCAGACUUCACAGGGGUCCCAAAUUUAUAGAAGUUCAUUCUCGAAGGAUGCACAAGGUUGCACGAAAUUCACCCAUCUUUGCUGCUUCACAAUAAGCUCAUUGUAUUGAAUCUUAAGGAUUGUACAAGUCUCAAACUCUUCCAGGCAAAUUUUUUAUGAAAUCUUUAAAAACACUUAGUACUUUCUGGUUGCUCAAAGUCGAAGAAAUUUCCAGAGAUUGUGGGAAAUAUGAAGUUUCUGCGGGAGCUUCUUUUGGAUGGAACUGAUAUUAAGGGACUACCAUUAUCAAUUGUACUUUUAUCUGGAAUUGUUCAGUUGGAUUUGAAAGGCUGCAAAAAUAUUAGUUGUCUUUCAAAUUUCAUAAGUGCUUUAAAAUUUCUUUCCACUUUCAAUCUCUCUGGCCUUUUGAAAUUCAGAUUGCCUCUAGAGAUCAUGGGACGUAUGGAACAUUUGUUGGGCGCUUCGGUUGUUGGGAACCACUAUAAGAGGAUUGCUAGUGUCAACUGAAUAUCUCUCUGUCAUUGUUUUGCUAAAUUAAAAAGGUUGCAAACAUCUCUCAAGUCUUCCAGUUACUAUAAGUAGUUUAAAAUGUAUAAGAACUCUUAACGCUCUCUGGUUGCUCGAAGCUGGAAAAGUUUCCGGGAAGUAUGAAAUCUCUGACUAUGCUUAUUUUAGAUGGAACUGCUAUUCGAGAAUUGUCGUUGUCAGUUGAACUUCUAACUGGCCUUGUUGUGUUGAAUUUGAAAGAUUGGCAAUAUCUCUCGAGUCUUCCAAGUACAAUCAAUGGUUUGAAAUCUCUUAAAAUUCUGAAUGUCUCUAGUUGCUCGAAACUUGAAAUUGUGCCAGAGAACUUGGGUAAAGUAGAAAGCUUGGAAGAGCUUGACAUUAGUGGAACAGCAAUUAGGCAACUUCCGACCUUUAUUUUUCUCUUAAAGAAUCUUAAAGCAGUGGACCACUAUCAUCUACAUCAUGGGAUUUGUGCUUCCUUCCCAAUAUGAUGUGAAGGAGUUUAGAUCCCAUGACUAAUUUGAUAUUACCUUCUCUAUCAGGCUUAUGUUCUUUAACAAAAUGGGAUCUCAGCAACUGUAAUCUACCAAUGGAAGGAGGAGAAAUCCCAAGUGUUAUUUACCACUAAUGCCUAUUGUUCAAGAAUGAACUAGAAUCUAAUUCCAAGACUAGACGCAAUGUCGGCUGAAUAAUAAAUGAUAGUAUGAACUGCUCUCGGUUACCCCUAGAGGACUCAUGUACGACGUCUAGCUCAGGUCGUCUAAAUUUAGUAAGUGAGUGCACGCUUUGGUCACGUGCACUAACUUAUACAUAAUGAUCAAACGACCCGAAAAGACUGCCGUUUUGAUGAGCAUUACUAUCAUUAUAUGGCUGUUAAAUCGGUUAGAAAGGGUGGGAGAUUAUUACAAACCCAUAACAGGCUGAUGACCGAUGAGGUAUAUUGUAUGAUGUCCAUUCAGUAGCUUGUAAUUUUCUCUCUAAGUUUGUAAGUUGUUCUGAGAAAACAAAUAAAGCUUGCCAAAGAAAGCAUAGGCCAUUGUAGCUAAACAUCUUGGAUUUUUAAUUUCUUGAUAAACUAUAUAUUCAUUUGAAUUAUGUAAUAUGAAGAUUUUUGUAUCAUUAGUUUGUGCUUGUUGGUUUUUUAUUUCUUUCAUUCUAAUAUACAAUUAUAAUAGGAAAAAUGACAUUUACACCCCUUGAAUUUGAGGAAAUGGUCACCAACACCUCCAAUUUAAAAAAAAACAUUAAAACCCCUUUUUGACAAUUAACCCUUUAAAAAAUUAAAUUUAAAAUUUUUAGAAAAUAGAAAUAUUAUAUAAAUAAUGUAAUCUAUGCAAUAGACUAAUAAUAUUAAAAUAAUUUAAUAUUUUAAUAAAUUUAAAUAUAUAAAUUGUUAUAUUUAUUUAAUAAUAUAUUUUAUUUAUUUUAGAUAUUUUAAAUAAAUAUUUGCAUUAAAUAUAUUUUACAAUUAAAAAAAUCUCACAUACUAAUGUUAUUAUUAUUUUACAUAAUAUUCAAAAUAAUUUAAAUUUUAAUACACUUGUUUUAACAUUAUGAUUCUAUUUAUUAUCAAAUUUAAUUUUAUAUACUAAAAUAUAUCUAAUAGAUUGUAAAAUAUUAAAAUAUUUUUGAAGUAUUUCUAUUUAUUAUAAAACAUUAGAGUUGAUUCUUUUUUGGAUAAUAGAGGUUAAAGGGUAUUAUCAUUAAAAGAGGGUCUUGAUGUUCCAUUUUGAAAUUUUGGGAGUGUUGGUGAUUAUUUCCCUAAACCUUGGGGGUGUAGAUGUCCUUUUUCCCAUUAGAAUAUCUUUUUUUGGCUAUUAUACCUUUCAAUUAUAGUAAUAUUAAAAUUGAUUUUAAAUUUUAAAAUAAAUACAAAUAUAAUAUUAGAAUAAAUAAACAAAAAUUAAUAAUUUUUAUUUUGGAAUUCCAAAUAUAUUGUUUUCAACAUCAGAAAUUAUAGUAUUUCAACUGGAUGACAUCCUAAAAUAAAAAUUAUGGAAAAGAAAUCAGAUUGCUAUUAUUAGACUAAAUGAUAAAAAAUUAAUUUUAUUUUAGAAUUAUUUAAAAGAAAUUAAUCGCAAAUAAAAAAAAAUUUAAAACAAUUGACCCUGGGCCGGCCUCGUUCGUCUUUUUAUAUAGAAUUGCAGGUCAAGAGCAUGCCCAGAACAUGUUUGACGAAAUACCCAAGAAGGAAUGCAUCCAUCUGAUAUGUUGAAGAGCACCGACAUGAUGCAUCUGUUACGGUAACUUUGUGAUUUCCUAAGCAAUCAGAAUCAAACAGUCAACAAAGUCAACUUUAUGAUUUCCCAGUUAAUCAACAAAGUCAAUUAUGCUACAACUUUAUGAUACAUCUAUUGCCACAAUUUUUUUUCACGUAGAAAAUUCAAUUAAAUUAAUUUAAUAUUGUCCUGGCUCAAACAUGCUGCCGCUUUGCUUGUAGUGCGGGUUUUCGGGUCCUUCAAUUUGCUGGUAGUGUACUUUUUCGUUUGCUGAUUAUGAUUAUUUCGGAGCCAAACUUAUAAAUUUAAUUCGAAAAGAAAAAUUUUAGGAACUUAAGUAAGAGGCUGUUGAAUCAAUUGCUUGCAACAGGAGCAUUCUGCAGGGAGUUUCUCCAUAUGUUCUGUCCCCCGCAAACAUUUCACAAACCAUUUGCGUGUUGCUUUGGAACAAAAGGGAGCCGUUUUAUUUAGGGACGACCAGGAACUCGAGAGAGGAAAAGUAAUUUCACCAGGACUACUUACAGUAAUUGAAGAAUCAAGAAUUUUAAUAAUUGUUUUCUCAAGAAACUAUGAGUCUUCCACUUGGUGUUUGAAGAACCAAGAAUUUCAAUAAUAUCUUUCAUAAAUUUGAAGUCAGAAAACAACUAAAUCAUCUUAAAAAGAAAAAAAAUUAUAAUUUACACUUUUAAAAACAAUUAGAUCAAAUCUCUUCAUUGGCAGCUAACAACAUCAAUUCCAUAUCCAAGUCAGCAAGUUUGGAAAGGUUCAUCCGCCGCUUGGAUUGCUGAAUCGCUCUUUUGGAUAAAUUUUCCGGCUUUUAAUAAAAGAAAAUUGGAAAAGGAAAUUAUAGAGAUUGAACAAUUAGCAACAUAAAAAAGUUAAAAUUACUAACAAAUGAGCAAUUAUACUUUUCCAGCAAGUGAUUUCUGCUUUCUUAGAUUGCUGAGACGAUUAACAUGAAACUAGUUUUUUCUUCUUUUUUUUUUUUGGCAACAGAUAAAAGAAACUGAGUGAUUGAACAAUUAGAGAGACACAAUGUCCAGCCUGGACUAGAUUUGAGUAUUUGACGAAUAAAAAGAACAAUAGGAAUUGAUUUUUUUAUUUUUUUUUUGGGGUAGUUUCAAGUGAUGGAUUAUAGAAAGGAUAGAAUGAAAAAUAAGGAUAAAUUGGGGAGUAAAUGGGGUACAGUAAUAAGAAAUAAGAAUAAUUUAUUUUUAAGAGAUGGGCCAGAUGAAAUAAAAUGAAGCGUUCAAAUAUCACUUUUUCUAUAGUGUUGGCCAAUUAGCACUUUUUUUUUUUUUUUUAGAAGAAAGGGAUUCAUUCAUUAACUGAGUUAAAAAGGUACAUAAUUUUUUAAGGGUAUGACCCUUUCCAAAUAGCAGUUUCACCACUUUCUAAAGCUCUCUUAGCUAAAGAAUGAGCAAUGGCAUUACAGGAUCUUAAAAUGUGCUGGACUUUGACAGCAUUAAACUCCUUCAUUUUGCUUUGCACCUCUAUUAUUUCCCAUUGGAUCUCUGUUCUGCUGCUCUUUUUGCUGUUAACCAAAUCAAUAGUCUCCUGAGAAUCUGAUUCCAUGAUGAUAUUUGGCAAUUUUGCAUGCUUUGCUAUGCUUAGACCCCAGCUCACAGCUUCUACUUCUGCAUGAGUUACAUCACCAUGAAACUUUGUGACCUUUAUUGCAGUUGCCACAAAAUUUUCCCCCGCAUCCCUUAUGACAACUCCCAGGCCAGCACAUUGGUUUUUCACGUUUAUGGCUGCAUCAACAUUGAUUUUACACUAAUCUAGUGGAGGGCGGCUCCAGCCUCUUGGAAUCUUUUCUUUCUGCUCAGCAAAAUCCUUUCGGGUUUGUGCUUUGACCUUUUAAACUCUUCCACUACUGAUUCAGCUUUCGCAGCUAGGAUUCUAGGGUCUUCUCUCUUCCCUUUGAAUGACACUUGAUUUCGGGCACUCCAUGCUACCCAAAACAUAGCCGCCACCAUCUCAGUAUCAGCCUUGCCAAUCCUUCUUUCCAGAUCUUGAAUUACACUGAGAAUGUCCUGAGUUGCAAUGCUUCUGAGCUCUACUGCAGCCUCAGUUACCUUCCAGAUUCUGCGGGCUGACCUGCACUCCACCAACGCAUGGAAAGUAUUCUCCAAAGCAUUUCAACAGAGCUGACAGAGCGGUUGGGCUAGAAUUUUCCUUUUCCACAGAUUUGCAGCUAUUGGGAGGAGAUUUUUGGCUGCUCUCCAAAUGAAAAUUUCGAUUUUCUUAGGCAAUGACAUAGUCUAUAUAAUAGGCCAUGGACUUGCUUUCUAAUUUGAGCAUCCUCGAGAGUCUUCUAGCGUAAUCCUCAAUGCAACUUGAUAUCUGCUUUUCACAUUAUAAUUUCCUUUUUUAUCAAAAUGCCACAGGACUUGAUCUGCUGUUGGUUGUCUAGGGAGUGGGAUUCUUGUAAUUGUAUCAGCAUCUUCUUUCACAAAGUGUUGGUAUAUCAGCCCAACCUUCCAUUGAUUAUCAUCAUCAAUAAGCUCCGAAACAGUCACAUCAAUUGGCAAAGAUGGAAGGGAAACUGGUUUGAAUGUCAAUGGCCUCGACAUCCAGUUUCCUCUAUAAAUUUCCACUUGAUCACCUCUUCCAAUCCUCCAUCUUAUCCCUCUAUUGAUAACUUCUCUCCCCCAUAAUAUACUUCUCCAAAUAAAUGAGGGUCUGAAGCCUAACUUUGCAUUAAGAAAAUGACAGUUCUUAAAGUAUCUUGCUUGUAAGAUCUUUGACACCAUAGAAUCUGGGAACUGCAAUAUUCUCCAGCCUUGUUUCGCUACCAGAGCCUGGUUAAAGCUUGCGAAAUCUCUAAAGCCUAAUCCUCCUUUUUGCUUUGCUUGGCUUAAGCUCUCCCACCUUGCCCAAUGGAUGCCUCUUUUUUCCGCAUUACUACUCCACCAAAAUCUAGAUAUCACCUUUUGGAUGUCAUCACAAAUGCCCAAAGGAAGCUUAAAGACACUCAUAGCAUAUGCUGGAACAGCCUGUGCUAAGAAUUUGUAUUGCCAGCUCGAAAUUUUACUCAUCACCCUCAGCUUUAUUUCAUUGAAGAAACCUUUCCUUUUUCUCCCCACUAUGGACGGCAGCCCCAGGUAUUUCUCAUGCCUUGAGACUACAUUUAACUGAAAAAUGUUUUUAAUUGCUGCAACGCUUCCACUAUCUGUGUUCUUGCUGAAAAACAUUGAAGAUUUGUUAUAGUUGAAGAGCUACCCUGAGGCUGUUGCGUAGCAAUAAAAAAUCCGCUUAAGGUGUUGGCAAUCUUCAGCCGAGGCUCUUGAGAAAAUCAGGCUAUCAUCCGCGAACAUGAGAUGUGAAACAUUGAUGCUGUUGCCAAACCUGAGGCCAUGAAUCAGCACUCUUCCUUUUGCCUUUUGCAGCAUAACAGAGAACACCUAUGCACACAUGAUAAACAAAUAAGGAGAGAGAGGGCAGCCUUGUCUUAGGCCCCUCUGAGGGUAGAUUAAGCCUUUUGCUGUGCCAUUUAUAAGGACUGAAAAGAAUGAAGUUGUGAUGCACCUCAUGAUUAGGUUUACCCAUGAUCGAGGAAAUCCUAAUUUAAUCAUUGUUUGUUCCAAAAACAACCACUCCACCCUAUCGUAGGCCUUACUUAUAUCAAGCUUUAGAGCCACAAGCCCAUUUCUCUUCCCUUCACUAUGCCUAACCUUAUGUAAGCAUUCAUAACCUAUGAUAAUGUUGUCAGUUAUGAGUCUAUUUGGAAUGAAAGCACUUUGGGUAGGGGAGAUGACUUGGUGGAGAAUGUGUUUAAGCCUAUUUGCAAUAGCUUUAGCCACAAUUCUAUAAAUGACAUUACAUAAGCUUAUAGGUCUAAAAUUGGUCACUUUCCUAGGCUUUUUAGUCUUAGGAACUAGAGCAAUAUAUGUGUGGUUAAGAGGGGUUAUUGUACCUUGCUCGUUCAGAAUAUGCAAACAUGUAGUCACCACUCCACUUUUUACCAUUUUCCAAUGCUUUUGGUAGAAGAACGCUGGAAAUCCAUCGGGUCCUGGUGCUUUGGUGGGGCACAUUUGGGAUAGGGCUUCAAGAAUCUCUUCUUCCGUAAUGGGUUGUUGCAGCUGAUCAUUCAUCUCCUCAGUGACUCUUGGAGUUAUUUCUUCUAGGGCAGCAUCUAACUGAUUCUGGUCUGGUCUAGUUGUUGAGAACAAGUUAGCGAAGUAUGCACAUAAUUCUCUUUCUACUUCCUCCCCCAUCACUAUCCAGUUCCUUUGGCUGUCUUGAAUGCCCCAAAUCCUAUUCUUCCUCUUUCUCGAUGAGGCUUUUGCAUGAAAAUAUUUAGUGUUCUUGUCCACUUCUUUAAGCCAAUCAACCCAGGAUCUUUGUUUCCAAUAAAUUUCUUCAUCUAUCAAAAUAUUUUGGAUAUGCCUUUUCACCCUUUUGAUCUCCUCUCCAUUGCUAUACUGCCUCCCACUGAACCUCAGCUCUUUUAGCCUAGCCACCGGCUUAUCCAACUUCUUUUUCCUCCCUUUGAAUUCUUCCCUGCUCCAACACUUCAGCUGGGCCAUGGAAUCUUUAGUUGUUUUUUUGAACAGUUAGACAGGAUCAGCAUGCUUCCAGUCACCAUGCUGGCUCCAUUCUCUUUGAAUUAUGUCUUUACAGCCCUUAUAACUACUCCACAUAUCUUCAUAAUGCACCCGCGAAGUACUUCGCUUUGUGUAGCUCAGUCUGCUUCCUCUUUCAUUCACCUCCAUCAAAACAGGACAAUGAUAUGAGGUCCAUGUUUCUAGGUUGAUGGCAGCACAAUCGUCAUAAAUCUCCCGCCAAUUCUUACUACACAAAAAUCUAUCCAAUCUUUCUUCUACAAAGCCAGGACCCUACCUACCAUUACCCCAUGUAAAACGGGUAACCUUUACAGCCCAUAUAAACUAGAUUACACUCUUGCAAUGCCUCUCUAAACUCACUUAUCAUGUUUGGAUUUCUCUCAUUACCACCUAUUUUCUCCCUAGGGUGUAAAAUUUCAUUGAAAUCACCAAAGCACAACCAGGGGUAUCAAACAAACCUGCAAGUCUCCUCAGUAUUGUCCAAGUAUGUUUCUUCUGCCCCGCUUCAGGGUGCCCAUAGAUUCCCGUGCAUCUCAUCCAACUUCCUUUGUCAUCUUGAACCUUGGCAUCAAUGUGGUGGCUGCUGAAUGAAGUAACAUCCACAUUGACAUUAUUGUCCUAAAGCAUUGCCAAUCCCCCUCCCUUCCCGUUUCUAUUGACUGCAAAACAAUUUUCCAAUCUCAACUUCCUGUUCACUAUAGACAUUUGCACAGGCAUUAAUUUCGUUUCACAUAAAAACAACAAAUGUGGCCUGUGUUGAUGGAGAAUUUUUUACAAAGCUAGGAAUGUCCGGGAAUUCCCCAAACCACAGACAUUCCAACUGAGGAUCUUCAUUGUUACCGGUAGGGCUGCCCACCAGCCUCCGCCGAUAUCUCUGUGAUGAUUGGCCUUGCCACCUCCAUGUCAUCUACUGACAUUAACUCCCAUUUUAGCUCAAGGUUUGCUGAAGAAGGGGAUUGCUGAGCUUGUCUCUGUAUUUGUUUAAUGGGACUAACCAACUUGACUCUUUUUUUUGUUUAGGUUGUUUUCUUUCAACAUGCAAUGUGGCCUCUUAGCUGGAUAUGUCUCCCGCUUGAUUCCUCCCAUCUCGCUUUGUUUUCGGGCCUAGCGUUUCUAGCUUUUUCUAUUGGGCUUAAUUUGAUUUAAUUCCGGUCCAUCAUCUACACCUUCCUCGUCUUCUUUACAAACUUGAGCCUUGGCUCUUUGAUCCAUUUCUUCGGUAGCCAAUUUUCCUUCUUUGCUAAAUUUUCCGCUUUCCCUCUCAUUUUCAUCAACUUUUCCCGCGUUGCUGCUCAUCUUGCUAGGGGCCUUUUCAUUGUCAGUGGCUGCAGGUUGCUUGUAGCAGUCCACUCUCUGAUCUCCUAAUUUUUUCCAGCUGAGCAUUAAAUGCGUUUCUUCUGCUUCCUCUUCAUUAUUUUCUUUAUUGGCUGCCACGUGUGUGUCUUCCUGGUCUGAGCUUGAUUCUGGUUCUGUUGCAUUGGUCCUAUGUGAUUGAAGGGGUUGCUGCGCCUGGGACAUUGGAUUUUCCUUGAAGUCUUUGUGCCUGUUAUUAGUUGGCUGGUUAACCAUUUUGCCACUAACUUUUGUUCCCCUUUCAUGGGGUCUGCUUAUUUUUUAUUUGCCAAAUACAGGGACCACUUGCAUCCAUACUCCAUAAGCCAGUUUCUCUUUUGGUUGCCCCUCGUAUUUGUUGCACUCCUUGUAUUGGUGCCUGACGAGACCACAACAAAAGCAAAAUUCGGGCAAUCUCUCGUAAACUACUGGAAUUGGGACAUCAUCUUCUCCUUCGAGUUCUAGAUAAAUUGUUCUGCUUUAUGCAUUUGUUACUUCAACUCUAUGAUUUCCCAAGAAAACAAUCAAUAUGUGAAUGUUUAGGUGCAGAAAACAUGGGCCAGCAGCUUGUAAGAACCAGGGAAAAAAGCAGAACAAUUUCAAUUCUUUGAAACCGAGUGCAGUUAAGUAAAUUCAUAAUUUCAUAACUUCUUUUAUAAUAUGCAAAUUGUAUUACUUCUAUAUGAAUUGCUUUUAGUGUGGUUAAACAGAGUGUUUCAGACUCAUGGAACAAGAAUGUUGAUAAGGUUAGCAAGCAAUGAACAGCAGAACUGAUUGAGGAAACUCAGGCUCAGAUUCUCACUAGUCCUGCAAUUAACAACUGGAAAGGUUAAAUCAAAUAAUAGCAAAUUCAAAUCUUAGGUGGCCACUUCUUUUGGCUCAGUCAAAAGUUCAGGUUUGAUAGCAGGUUCUAUAAUAUCUCCCCCGCCAUGCACACAUCAUUAUCUUAAUUUUAUCAUGCUUGUAUGCCUGGAUGGAUGCUUGUAUGCUUGACUUCUGCCACAUUUCCAUUUCCGUACACAUUCAAUAUACAGUAGUGGCUCGACCUCUAGGCAACUUAGGUGGUUGCCUAGGCCCCCUCUUUACAUGAGGGCCCCAUGAGAUGAUUAUUUUGUAAAUAAAAGAAAAACAUGAAUUUAAAAGUCAUUAUUAUUCAUUUAAUUUAUUAUUAUUUUAUAAUUAUCUUUUCCUAAAUAAACUAUCAAAUUCCUAUAAAGUUUAUUUAAUAUAAUACUUAGUAGUUUUAAUUCCUACAAAACCGAUAAAUUCCAGAUUCUAUCUUUUUACUAUUCUCUUAAUUAGCUGUGUUAUUUAUUUAUUUAUUCUUUUUUCUUUUUAAUAUAUUCUUGUAUUAAUCUACUAUUUUUUGUGUGUGCUUGUUUUAUCUAUUUUGAAAUAAAACUAUAUCGAAAAAAUUUAGAAAAUAGAAGAAUAGAAAAAUUAGUUUAAUCUAGAAAAGGAGCAGUAAAAAAGAUGUAAUUUGAAUUAAAAAAAAAAGUGAAAAUGUUAUAAUUGAAUUAAAAUUUCAUGGAUUAGCAAUAGUAGAAUAGAAUUUUAUUUAAUAAUUUUACAUUUUAGAGUAUUUAAAGAAUUAAUUUUCAAAAAAUAAUAUAUAACUAAUAUAUAUAUAUAUAUAUAUAUAUAUAUAUAUAUAUAUAUAUAUAUAUUUUGUCUUAAAUUUUAAGAAGAACUAAUUGAAAUCAUUUACCCAAGGCCUCAAAUAUGGUUGAGCCGGCCCUGUCAUUAUAAAAGUAUAAUAGCAAGUAUUAGUUAGCUGAGCUGACUUUGUUGACCAAAGCUUGUAUAGAAACUGAAUAACAGAACAACUUAUGAGGCUUGUAACCAAAAGGAUGCCUAAAGCUAAAGCCAACUAUUUUUAGUAGAAAUUGAGGGCACUAAACCUUUCUUCUCUUCCCAAACUUUAUGCAAUUUCAAAGAAAAAUGUGAAACCUUUAAUCUUUGUUUUCCAUUUUUUACUUAUUUUAAUGAGAAAAUUCUACAAUUUAAUUAAAAUUUUUUUAAAGAUUAUAGUGGAAUUACUCCAAAAGAAUAUUGUAUUCUUUUUCCCUAUAAAAUGCAAUUACAAUGAAGACGCCCUUAAUAAAAUACCUAAAGAAAUUUUUUCUUUUGGUGCGUAGAUUAUUGAAGCUGGCUUUGUCAACAUCGUGUCGAUCAAAAUCAUUCUUCAUUAAUAUAUAUAUAUAUAUUUAUUUAUUAAAACGGGCUCUUUAAGACGAGUUAGAUAUGAACAAGGCGGGGUUGACAAACCCCAAACAUAUCUUGCGAAAUAAUAGAAUAAAUACCCACAGGCGGGUUAGAGAAUAAAUGUAAACCAUGCGGAACUAAGUGAGCCAUAUUUGCCAUGAAAUCUGCAGUUGAGUUUGCUUCACGGUAGAUUUACGAGAUAGAAAUCUGCCAAUUCCUGCUUAAGAAAUCACGAAUUGCCACCACUAAAGCAUAGAAAACAUUAGGCACGACCACCUGCUGAGAUAUCAUUUGAGUUACACAGAGGCUGUCUACUUCCACCAAAAGAUGUCUGAUGCCAACAUUCUAGGCAAGGGAUAAUCCUUGAUACAGUCCCCAGAGUUCGGCCAUAAUCACUGAGCUUUCCCCAAUAUUCAUACUAAAACUUGAGAUCCAGUUACCAAAAGAAUCGCGAAUUACCCCACCCGCUCCAGCUUCUCCUGUAUUUCUAUAGGAACCAUCUGUGUUCAACUUACACCAUGGUCAUGGAGGAGGCAACCAACUAAUAAAAAUCUCCUUACACCUUGGUUGUUGGCUAAGAUGAGAGUUAUUAAUUCUAUGGAUCUCACUAGCUCUGCCAUUAUAUCCAAGUAUAUUGUCUUGCUAUCUACCAAAUUUCUAGCCAUAAUAAAAUGAUUCCGCCAAAACCAUAACCUCCAAAUAGCCACUCCAAAAAUAUAAUCCCAAGGAAGCUCAGAAUCAAUUUUCCAGUUGUUUUGCACGUUGGCAGCAAUCCAUGCACGUAAGUUAGAUUGGAAAAAAGAGAGAUGGUGACGGGCUGGAACAAGAUGAAGCCAUAGAUUCUUAAUGCAUCGACAAUCUCUCACAGCAUGAAGAAUGUCCUCAGCUGAAAUCCCGCACCUAGCACAAACAUCCGAAACGGGAAUAUUACGCCGACUGAGCUCACGGUAGGUCUUCAAUUUGCCAUGCAAAAUCUGCCAAAUAAAGAGCUUUAUAGAUUGGGGUCCUUUCCAAGACCAUGGCAAGUUCCAUACUUUAUCUUGAGCAUCCAUGUUGUGAUGGCAAAGAGAUUCAUAAGCGGAUCGAACAGUGAACAAUCCUCUUGGAUUAAAACACCAAUACAGUCUGUCAGGUCCAAGAUGCGGAGCAGGAGGCAUGAUCGAAGCAAUCUGCAGAAGAAUAAAAGGGGGCAGCAAGAGCUGAAAGUUCGACCAUCUCCAGCCACCAUGUUCAUUAGUAAAAUCGCUAACAGUUGCAUUGAGAGAGACUUGAGGGAUCGGUUGGAGAGCAAGGCCAAUCAAAGGUUCAUAUUUCGUCACCCAACAGUCCAGCCAGAACCGAAUGCGAGCACCAUUGCACAAUGCCCAGCGAGCUCCAUGCAUGGCUGCAUCCCACGUUUUCCUUAUAGCAGACCAGACGCGCGAUCCUUGCUUGUCAGGGAGGGAAGACGGCAAAUUGCAUGGGUCCAGUCCAUACUUAGAACAGAGAACCGUCACCCACAACGUAUCCAAGUUGGAAAUAAUGCCCUAACUAAUCUUCAUUAACAGGGCAUGAUUCAUCACCUCUAAAUUUUUAAAACCCAAGCCACCACGUGAUUUUGGCAAGCAGAUUUUGUCCCAGCCUACCAUGCAUAUCUUAGGACUCUUCGACUUCCCAUCCCAAAUAAAUCUACGGCAGCACUUAUCGAUUCUAUGGCACACCGAUGAAGGAAGCAUGGUCGUUUGCAUUGCAUAAAUCGGCAUGGCUUGAAUCACCGAUUGCGCCAAAGUAACACGACCAGCAAAGGAUAAGUGAGCCGCGUUCCAGCCACUGAGCCUCAUGUCUACCUUGUCCAAAAUAGAUUGGUACGUGGCUUUAUUCACCCUCGAAUGAAGUAAUGGCAUUCCAAGAUAGUUUCCCAGGUCAUGAGUAAUCGAAACCCCCAAGGCAGCACCAAUGAGCUUUGCCUCUCUUGAAGCAACAUUCUUCGAAAAGAAAAUUGUAGUUUUCACUUUAUUAACCUUUGCUUCAGAACUUCGACAGUAAUUUUCUAAGACCGCAUCAAUAAUAUGAGCUUGAUCUAUCGAAGCUUCUGUAAAUAAGAGCAAAUCAUCAGUAAAAAAAAGGUGGGUAAGAGGAGUGCCAUGUUUAACCAACCGAAUUGGCUUCCAGCUUCCAUCCACCAUAGCUUGGGUUAUUCCAUGGCUCAAACGCUCGAUACAGAGCACAAAGAUAUACGGAGAUAGAGGGUCACCCUACCGAAUUCCUCUUCCCGGAUAAAACUCUUCAGUUACCUCACCAUUCCACAGGAUGUUCAUGCUGGCUAAGGUAACACAUUCCAUGAUGAGCCGAGAUAAGUGAAUCGGGAGCCCCGUCUGUUGAAGAGUUUCAAAAAUAAAAGACCAGUUCAGCCGAUCAUAUGCCUUCUCGAGAUCCACCUUAAUAGCCAUGAGCCCUCUUUUACCCGUUUUCUUGCGCAUGGAAUGAACCACUUCCUGAGCAAUAACAAUGUUAUCCACAAUGUGCCGUCCGAGAACAAAACUUGUCUGUUGAGGCCCGAUCAGCUCAGGUAAUAAAGCUUGUAGACAAUUGGCAAUAAUUUUAGUCACUGUCUUAUAGGCAACAGUGCAUAAGCUUAUAGGCCGAAACAUCUUUAAACUAGUAGGAUGAUCCACUUUCGGAAUCAAAACCAACAGAGUUUUGUUUAUGUUUUGAGGGAUUUUACCAGUAUUAAAAAUGUCAAUGAUAAAAGUACAGAAAGAGGGUCCAAUAGUGUGCCACUGGGAUUGAUAAAAGAUAGCCUGCAGUCCAUCAAUACCCGGCGCUUUAAGGGGUUUCAUGCUAAAAAUAGCUCUUUUAAUUUCUUCCUCCACAACCGGAUCAUUAACACAAUCAAGAUAAUUAGCAUUCACGGCUGGAAAAAAAUUCGGAACAGAGUAUGUUUGAUAAGAAUGAGCUUCACUUUUGAAUAAAGAGGAGAAAUACUCAACUGCAUGGCUACGAAUAUCUUUCUCAUUGUAGAUCCAGUUCCCCAUACUAUUCUUAAUGGCCUCAAUUCGAUUUCUUCUGCGACGAGCAAUAGUUUUUUGGUGAAAGAAGGUAGUAUUUCUAUCCUCGUGUAGGAUCCAGUCUUUCCUAGAUUUCUGCCACCAAAAAAUCUCCUCCUGAGCCAUCACCAUCUCUAAUUCACUUCGUAAGUGAGCCUCUAACCGAAUCAGCCCUCUAGAAUUAUAUUGUUCUAAGGCUGCUUGAAUACCAUUAAUCCGAGCCAGUAAUCUGUGUUUACACUGAAAGAUGUUACCAAAAACAUCGUGAUUCCAACCUUGCACCACUUGAAUAAAACUAGUAGUUGCAGUACUGUAGUGAGAGGUGGAAUCCCACACCUGUUUGACAAAAGAAUUAAAAUGCUCAUGAGUUAACCAAGUAGCCAAAAAUCUGAAAGGCCUAAUAACCUGUUGUCGGUAAUCAGCUCCCUCAAAGCGGGCCAGGAUCGGUAUGUGAUCUGAGGCAACUUUCGGAAGGUGAAGAACAGUGUUAUCAGCAAACUUCAUCAGCCAAUCAUUAUUACACACAUCUCUGUCAAGCCGUUUAAACAGGGUGCCAUGAGACCAAGUAAAACGAGGGCCUUUAAACUUUAAAUCAAAAAUUUGGUGGCCAUCAAACCACUGCCAAAAUAAACCACACACUCCAAAGUGUCUGGUAACACCCCCCUGCUUCUCAGAAGCAAACAAAAUAGAAUUGAAAUCCCCUCCAAUCAACCAAGGACCUUGAAUUGAGCCGGCAAGAUUCUCCAUACGACUCCAGAAAUGUCUCCGCAACAUUGGAUUUGAGCUAGCAUAGAUAGCCGUUACCCAAGAGACAAAAAUAUUAUUUCUACAAACUUUGAAAUGAAUAAAUUGCCUAUGAUUAAUUACCACCUCCACCUUAACACAAUUCCGCCACAGGAUCCAGAUUCCUCUAGAAACGCCAACUGCUUCCACUCGAUGAGAGAACUCAAAACCAUUUUUCUUUAUAAACCCAUCUGCUUUCAUUCCACUUACACGAGGUUCCAUGACAACCACCAUAGACGGGUUAUAAUUUUUUACAACAGUCUUAAAAGAGCGCCGAAAAUUUCCGGAGGCCGCUCCUUGGACAUUCCAAAACAAUAUGCUAAUCGUCAUAAAAAUAAAUAAAAAAGAAAACCAAGGGCCCAACAUAUCAAAGCUACUGGUCAUGGAUAUCAUCUAUCAUCACCAAAGGUGAUUCCUGAACCAUCGAGACUUCUUCAUCUGACAUCUCCUUCCCAUCAUCUCCACUCAUUGGAACAACGGGGUGUGUAUAAGCAUGCUCAAAAGCAUUAACAGUAAAGACGUGAUGGUCAUCUGGGGGGUCAGCCAAAGGUUGUGGGUCCAGAUCCUCACAAUCUCUAUGAUCCGUGCCCACACCCUUCAUAUCUCCAUAAGGAAGAAUUUGUGAAGAACAAAAGACCACCGUGUGCUUUGUAGGAUCCAAAGUGGUAGCUACAUGAGGAGUUUGUUGCUUAUUAGGGGCAGCAUGUGUAAUGGGGCAAUGGAUUUGGCUAGGGUUGUCAUGGGGUGUGGAAAUAAUAGUUUUUUCUCUUAUGUGGAGGGCAGUAGUCUGGAAAGGAUUGCGGGUAGGGUUCAUUGGAGUGAAAGGUUUCCUAUUUGGUGGCUUCGAAGCAGCAGAUUUUGGAGUCUGCUGACGUCUAACAGGAGGCUUAAAUACUUUAUCAUUGUUAAAGGUAAAUAUCGGAUUUGAGCUUGAUGGACUAGGUGUUUUGAGGUUGAGGGGACGUCUGUGGAAGCGCCAUGCAGAGAGUUUUCAUGCAGAUCCGUCAUCUGAGCUAGAAUGUGAAACCUUGACUCACUCGCCCCAUUAGGUUCACAGUUUUGACCAUUGUUUGGCUUCCUUCCUUUCCUAGUUACAAUCAUCCAAGGGUCGAAGGGCUCAACCAUAGCAGCAUCUUCACGGUUAGCUUCUGGAGAGGUAGGAUCCUCCCGACUUUGCACACCAGCUGGAGGCUGUGCAACGUUGUCAGAAUUUCUCUCAGCAGCCGAGAUCUUGCAGUUACUGCUAUUAUGACUGUACCUCCCACAAGCAAAACAAAUUACAGGCAAUCCUUCGUACUCUACCUUUUGGAUCAUUCCAUCCAAUUCAAACUGAGAAACUAAAGGCUUGUCUAGGGAAACACUUACUGCAAGGCAAGCAAACCUUCCGCGAGCAGAAGAAGCAAUGUUCGAGUCUACUUUGAUCACCGUACCCACCAUCUGACCAAGUUUUUGCAGAACUUUAUGGUUGUAGAGAUGGACCGCAAGGCCAGGUAAGCGAAUCCAUACAAUGACUUGGUUAAGAACCGUUUUGGUGAAAUCAAAAGAAGGUGACCAUGGCUGGACUGUUAAGUAAUGCCCCAUUAUAAUCCAAGGGCCUUUAGUUAGGGCAUCAACCGCGUCCCCAUCAGAUCAAAAACGAAUCAGAAAAUAAUUAUUUUCUAAGUCAAUCACCGAGUAUGUCAUGGUUGUUCUCCACAACGCAUGUAGCCUAGUGCAUAAAGUUUUGUAGCCAAUAUUUCGGCCUAGCAACUUGACAACAACAGAGUGCUUCCACGGUUCACUUAGCUUCGCAUGAAUCCUAUCCAAAAAACUUAUUGACGGCAAGGUUCCAUCGUUACGCUCAAUCACAUCUCCUUCCUCAAAAUCCCAGUCCACUGCACCUCCUCCAAAUCCAUUCUCCAUUGUUUGUGAUGAAUUCACAAGCGUUUCUUUGUAGGAGACAUGUUUAGUAGUUUCACUAUCGUUUUCCUCAUCACGAAAGCGUGCCUUUUUGGUCGUUCUAGCUUCCCUAAACGGCAGCGGAAAAGCCUCGCCGAAGUUAGGGUUUCCGCCACCUCCGAGAUUUUCGGAGUUUUCAUUCAUCCCUUUUUUCCCUACUUACUUCAUUAAUAUAUAUUAUUACUGUACUUAUAUAUUCAUGCUUAGUAUUAUGUUCAUGUUUCGCUAUUACCUAAUUGAAAUUGCAUUCCAACUUGGAUUUUUAAUUUCUUGAUAAACUAUAUAUUCAUUUGAAUUAUGUAAUCUGAAGAUUUUCGUAUCAUUAGUAUGUGCUUGUUGGUUUUUUAUUUAUCUCAUUUUAAUAUAUCAAUUAUAAAAGGAAAAACGACAUCAACACCCCUAAAUUUGAGGAAAUGAUCACCAAGACCCCUUUUUGACCAUUAAUCCUUUAAAAAAUUAAAUUUAAAAUUUUUAAUAGAUAGAAAUAUUAUAUAAAUAAUGUAAUCUAUGCAACAGACUAAGAACAUUAAAAUAAUUUAAUAUUUUAAUAAAUUUAAAUAUAUAAAUUGUUAUAUUUAUUUAAUAAUAUAUUUUUAUUUUAGAUAUUUUAAAUAAAUAUUUGCAUUAAACAUAUUUUACAAUAAAAAAAUCUCACAUACUAAUGUUAUUACUAUUUUACAUAGUAUUCAAAAUAAUUUUAAUUUUAAUACACUUGUUUUAACAUUAUGAUUCUAUUUAUUAUAAAAUUUAAUUUUAUAUACUAAAAUAUAUCUAAUAGAUUGCAAAAUAUUAAAAUAUUUUUGCAGUAUUGAAAUUAUUUUACAAUGUAUAAAUUAUUACAUUUAUUUUAAUGUUAUAUUUCUAUUUAUUAUAAAACAUUAGAGUUGAUUAUUUUUUGGAUAAUAGAGGUUAAAGGGUAUUAUCGUUAAAAGAGGGUCUUGGUGUUCCAUUUUGAAAAUUUGUGGGUGUCGGUGAUUAUUUCCCUAAACUUUGGGGGUGUAUAUGUAAUUUUUCCAUUAUAAUAUCUUUUUUUGGCUAUUAUACCUUUUAAUUAUAGUAAUAUUAAAAUUGAUUUUAAAUUUUAAAAUAAGUACAAACAUAAUAAUAGAAUAAAUAAACAAAAAUAGUAAUUUUUAUUUUAGAAUUCCGAAUAUCUUGUUUUCAACAUAAGUAUAGUAUCUCAACUAGAUGGCCUCCUAAAAUAAAAAUUACAGAGAGGAAAUCAAAUUGCUAUUAUUAGACUAAAUAAUAAAAAAAUUAAUUUUUAUUUUGGAUUUAUUUAAAAGUAAUUGAUCACAAAAUAAAAAACUUUAAAACAAUUGACCAAGGGCCAGCCUCGUUCGUCCUUUUAUAUAGAAUUGCAGGUAAAAAUCAUGCCCAGAACAUGUUUGAUAAAAUACCCAAGGAGGAAUGCAUCCACAGGAUAUGUUGAAGAGCAACGACAUGAUGCAGCUGUUGCUGUAACUUUGUGAUUUCCUAAGCAAUUAGAAUCAAACAGUCAACAAAAUCAACUUUAUGAUUUCCCAGUUAAUCAACAAAGUCAAUUAUGAUGCAACUUUAUGAUACAUCUAUUGCCACAAUUUUUUUUUUCGCAUAGAAAAUUCAAUAAAAUUAAUUUAAUAUUGUCCAGGCUCAAACAUUUUCUCGCUUUGCUUGUAGUGGGGGUUUUCGGCUCCUUCAAUUUGCUGGUAGUGUACUUUUUCGUUUGCUGAUUAUGAUUAUUUAGGAGCCAAACUUAUAACAUUUAAUUCCAAAAAAAAAAUUAGGAACUUAAGUAAGAGGCUGUGGAAUCAAUUGCUUGCAACAUGAGCAUCCUACAGGGAGUUUCUCCAUAUGUUCUGUCCCCCGCAAACAUUUCACAAACCAUUUGUGUGUUGCUUUGGAUCAAAAGGGAGUCGUUGUAUUUAGGGACGACCAGGAACUCGAGAGAGGAAAAGUAAUUUCACCAGGACUGACUUACAGUAAUUGAAGAAUCAAGAAUUUUAAUAAUUGUUUUCUCAAGAAACUAUGCGCCUUCCACUUUGUGCUUGAAGAACCAAGAAUUUCAAUAAUAUUUUUUAUAAAUAUCAAAGUGAGGAAACAACUAAAUCAUCUUAAACAGAAAGAAAUCAUAAUUUAUACUUAUUAAAAACAAUUAGAUCAAAUCUCUUCGUUGGUAGCUAACAACAUCAAUUCCAUAUUCAAGUCAGCAGGUUUGGAAAGUGUUUGGGGGAUAUACUUCGACAAGACCAGCCGUGAUGAGCAGAGAUCUGGUAGCAGGGGUACGCGAAUAGGUAUAUCUUGCAAAAGUCUGGUAGCAUGGUAACAGGAGCAGGAAUAUUCUGCUCGUCCACGAAUACGCCAUCCGCGAGGCCGGUCUCCUGUCUGAAGCAUAAAACCAUUCCUGCUAGGGGUUGAGGCGAGGAGACCCGGUCAACGACAGUUGGCGAGAUGGGCUCUCAAACCCGAGAAUCAAGGCACGAAGGCCAUGCAACCACCCACGAUUACGGAAACGGAGCAUCCACCUUCGAGAGGUGGGAAGAUAACGGGCGUGAAUGGAGGGAAGGUCUGAACUCAGGAGAAGCCUAUAAAAGGGUGGCCAACGAAGGUAAAAGGGUUAGGAUUUUCGACAUCAAAACUGAGAUAAAGAGAGCAUUAAGCAAUCGAUACCAAAAAUAAGCCAUAAGAUUAGUGGCUAACGUUCCCAGGAACACGAAACCUUCAUUUCUGACUUGAGCGUCGGAGGGUUUACGCCGGGAAAACAACCGGCGUGCUCUGACUUGUUUCUAUGUACGUAGGCAUUUUUGGAGGAGUCAUACGAGGAGAGAUCCUGAUCGUGGUUGAGUUGAUCGAGCAGAGAUCCUGGUCGUAGUCAAGAGGGUAAUCAAAAUCUCGUAUCAACAUUUUGGGGCUGUCUGUGGGGAGCUGAUAAAAAAGCUUAUGUUGACAGCAAGAAGAGGAGUAAAGCAAGUGAAGAAAUAAUGGAGGUAGGAGGAAGUAGUGCGCAAGGAGGUGAUAUGAGGCUUAACGAUUCCGUGACGUUGAGGGAGAUAGCCAAUGAAGCACAGGAAAAGGCUAUGUAUGACCGGAUGGAACGGAUGGAAAAGCAGAUGGAGACCCUGACAACCAUCCUGCAUGAGUUGCGGAGUGAACGAAGAGGAAUCCAUGAGGAAGGGAUAAGAAGUGGCGGAAUGGCACCCGGGCACGAUGAUAUGAUGAGAAGUCGGACCACCAGAGGAUUUGGUGGUGGGGGAGUUAAUUUGUCUCUAUGGGGAGAAGUGCAUAGAGGAGAAAAUCAAUCCCCAGGAAGGCAGAUCCUUGAUAAUGAUGACGGGGUGGUGAAUGCAGAGGAGAGAGAACUCAGACAACACCUGCAUGAUGUAGAGCAAGAGCGGGAUCAAGUUGCAGCACGUGACUCUGGUCGUGCAGUACAGCUGGAGGAAGAAGUGCGCAAAUUAGCGCAGAUAAUUUUUGACAUGCAAGGAAGGAGCAGAGCACCCGGUUGGAGGAUAAUGCUGGAUAGAGAAUCUCCGCUCUCAGCAGAGAUCAUAAGGGCAGUUAUCCCGAGGGAUUUUCGCCUCCUAGACCUCAGAUAUGCGGGACGAACUGAUCCGUUGGUACACAUAAAGCGCUUUAACGACAUAACUGGAGUGCAAGGAUUAUCCCAAGCUCAAAGAUGCAGGGUAUUUCCACUGUUAGUAGAGGGGUGAGCACGCGAGUGGUACCGCAAACUUCCUCAAGGGAGCGUCAAAUCCUUUGAGCAGAUGUGCCAAGAAUUUGCAGAGCAGUUUCGUAGGGCAAUGGCACCAGAAGAUGACAUGAUGGAGUUGAAAAACAUGAAGCAGGGGGAACAAGAAACCCUUCGGAAAUUCAUCAAGAGAUUUCAUCGUGCUAUCCUCGACUUGGGAGCCUUCAACCAUCCUCAGGCAUUAAGGAGAUUGAAAGAAUGGGUGAAGAUAGGAAGGUUGUGGUACAACUUGAGGAGCCCAGUUAUUCAUAUGUAUGCAGCCGCUUACGAGCAGGCUAAGAGGGACAUAGAAAUUGAGGAGGAAAAGGCAGCAUGGAUAAAAACAAACCAGCUAAAAGGGUUGGGAAGGAAAGAGAAGAGAGCAUUACCAGGAAAUGAGCCAAUCAAGAGGAGGGACUACCAUACCUCAGGUAGUGGUACAGGAGGUCGGGUCACCGCUUACCAGCCUCAUCAGAGGCCAUCACAAUAUCAGUGCAGCAGGGCGCAACCUCCUCGUUCACCAGCUAGGGAACCUUGGAGAAGGCAUGACUCAGCAUAUGGUCAUCCUUAUCCACACCCCCAUGGUAGUAGAAGGAGCAGACUAGAAGCACUGCUGCCUCCUCCAGUUCAGAAUGGCACAAGCAAGGAAAGGGCAGUGCACAUGAUCGACCAGAACUAGGACUAUAGGCGGUAUACUUCCUUGAAGAUCGCCCUGGACGAGGUGUACGAGACCAUAAAGGACCGGAGAUUAUUGUACCUCCCUGCCCCAAUAACAAAACUACCCAACAGGAGGGAUAGGGGACGCUAUUGUAAGUUCCAUGGCACUCAUGGCCAUACCACAACAGAAUGCAAGGAGCCCAGUUAUUCAGACGUAUGCAGCCGCUUACGAGCAGGCUAAGAGGGACAUAGAAAUUGAGGAGGAAAAGGCAGCAUGGAUCAAAACAAACCAGCUAGAAGGGUUGGGAAGGAAAGAGAAGAGAGCAUUACCAGGAAAUGAGCCAAUCAAGAGGAGGGACUACCAUACCUCAGGUAGUGGUACAGGAGGUCGGGUCACCGCUUACCAGCCUCAUCAGAGGCCAUCACAGUAUCAGUGCAGCAGGGCGCAACCUCCUCGUUCACCAGCUAGGGAACCUUAGAGAAGGCAUGACUCAGCAUAUGGUCAUCCUUAUCCACACCCCCAUGGUAGUAGAAGGAGCAGACUAGAAGCACUGCUGCCUCCUCCAGUUCAGAAUGGCACAAGCAAGGAAAGGGCAGUGCACAUGAUCGACCAGAACUAGGACUAUAGGCGGUAUACUUCCUUGAAGAUCGCCCUGGACGAGGUGUACGAGACCAUAAAGGACCGGGGAUUAUUGUACCUCCCUGCCCCAAUAACAAAACUACCAAGCAGGAGGGAUAGGGGACGCUAUUGUAAGUUCCAUGGCACUCAUGGCCAUACCACAACAGAAUGCAGAGAUCUUAAGACCCAGGUAGAAUAUUUGGUGAGAAAUUGAUACCUGGACGAGUUUAUAGAUAGGACUUUUCCGAUGGUGGCCUCGACAUGUGAAGGGGAGCAGAGUAACAGGAACUUGAGCCACGAGUAGCCUAUAGUAAGAGUGAUUACUGGGGGCCAACGUUGGCCGGAGAUUUCAACAGAUCGGGGAAGAACUAUGCUAGAUAUGCCAUGACUAGUAAAGAGGUAUUCUUCAACACCCCAACAACCAAACGAGCAAGAGUCAGGCAAAUGCCAAUCAUGUGGACAGAAGAGGAUGAAGAAGGGAUUUUAUAUCCACAUGAGGAUGCCCUAGUCAUCAAGGCCACUGCUGCUAGCAAGAAGUUUGACCGGAUACUGGUUGACACAGGGAGCUCAGUUGAUAUGUUGUUUAAGUCAACUCUGAAAGAGAUUGGAAUAGCAGACUUGAGAUUGGAGCACACCAAUACCUCCUUGAAGGGAUUUGGAGGAGGAAAGCUGGUCCCUCUGGGCGUGGUCGAGCUACCUAUCACGAUCAGUAACCCCUCGACAGAAAGGACUAUGAUACUGGAUUUUGUGGUGGUCGAUGAAGAGGGUCCUUAUUAGAUGAUCCUAGGUCGCCCAUUUCUGAGGAUGAGCAAAGCGGUACUGUCCAACCAUUAUCUAGCUCUCAAGUACCGGGUGAAUGGGGUAGUUGGAGUGGUACGAGGAGACUAGAGAAUCGCCCGAAGUUGUUAUUCCUCGGCAGCAAGGGAAGCAAUGCAGAUAACAUCCCUUGAUACCCGAGUGGGAGCCAAGAAUGGCAGACAGGAACCUGUAGAGGAGCUGGAGAUAGUAAGCCUGGGACAAGGGGAUCCUGGAAAAACAAUCCGAAUUGGGAGGGGCCAUAUAGGGUCAAGCAGCUAGUUGGACAUGGAGAUUACAAGUUGGUUCGCACGGAUGGCCACGAGGUGAAACGCCAAUGGAACGUAGCACACCUCAGGAAAUAUUUCCAGUAAGACUUGUUCAUGUUUUAAAGUUAUUUCUGUUCGCGCUCGUUGUUAUUUAUUUUAUGUCAAAGCAAUCUCAUGUAAGCCGAAUUUAGCGAUAAAUGAAUCUAUGAGGAAUUUUAGUCAACUGUACUGUUACAAAAGUUUCGAAGGCAUGCAAAGGCUCACCAGGUCUCAAAGCCUGUUUUAUGGCGAGACCAGAAGCCAAGCGUGCCAGGAUCUGCUCGACCAAGCAAAGGCGAGCAGACUCCCAAGCGUUGUAAAAUUUCUAAGACAUUUAAAGCCUCACCAAGUCUCAAAGCCUGUUUUAUGGCGAGACCAGAAGCCAAGCGUACCAGGAUCUGCUCGACCAAGCGAAGGCGAGCAGACUUCCAAACAUCGAAAAAACUUCUAAGGCAUGUAAAGGCUCAUUAAGUCUCAAAGCGUGUUUACGACAAGACUAGAAGCCAAGCGUAUCAGGAUCUGCUCGACCACGAGAAGGCGACCAGAAUCCCAAACGUAAAACAAUUUACGACUACAAGACAAGAAAGCAAAUAAGAACAUUCUUAUUAAUUUUUCAACAAUCAUAAAAAGCUGCUAGCCAUAACAUACAGUGUUCCAAAAAGCAACUACAACACAAGAUACAUUCAGGAGGACGGCGGGUCAGUAAGUCGAGCAGCCUCGGUUGCCUGGUCCACCUCAGGUGCAGGGGGGUAUCACCAGUUGCAUCCGGGGGGGUACUCGCCUCAGCAACAUCAGCAGGGAUUGCACGAGGAGGAGAGUUUCCCUCCUCAACCGCAAUUGGCUCCACCUCUUCGACAUCCUCUUUUGCUGCCUCCUCGUCCAUUUGUUGAGCAACACCAGCAGCAAGGUCAUCCAUCUUCAGAUCAGGAUACUGCUUCCCUAAAACGGCCAUGAUGCAGUGAUAAGAAUGCCGCAGACCUUGGUCAUAUUGGUUGUCAGCUUCCUUCUCUAGAUUCUCGACCUGAACCUGGUAAGAGUCCUUGAGGGAUUCGAGCUGAGCCUCAUAGGUGGCCUUCUGCCUCUGCAGAUCCUCCUUGACCCUGAUCAACUCUUCCUCAAGAGUAAUGGCCUUUGCUUGAGCGAGAGAUUCUUGCUCUAUCAGCUUCAAGUUCUCAAGAUUCAGGUCUCCUGCUCUCUUCUCGGCAGCAUCAGCCUUGGUCAUCGCCGAUUGAAUGUCCUCCUUCAUCUUCCAGUCAUAGCGGCCAACCUUGGCCUUAUAGUAAGUGGCCAUGCAGCCGAGAUGGAAAGCACUAAACUGCAUGGCUCCCACCAGCUCGCCCAGAGUGCUAUCAUCAAAGUCCUCCAGGUCCCUCUUGCUCACGAGUUUAGAAAACUCGUUGAUAUAGGGGACCAAAUGUUCUGCUCGACUGUCAGAUAAACGAGAUCUCGGCCCGACUGGAGGAGAAGAGGAAGCGGGAUCACUAGCUGCUCCGCUAGUUUCUCCGACUUUGGCAGGAGGAGGUGGUAGAGUCUUCAAUGGAGGAACCUGCUGCACAAUGUUCACCCGCUUCACAGUGGGAGCGUCCUUAUUCUAGUCCUGCUUAGUAGUAUGAGGUCGAGAACAUUUCCGAUUCAGAGCCCCGAUCACAGCGUCCUCCAUCCCAAAGUCAGUGGACACCAAACGAGAUUCAAGCAAGUUUUAAGUGGUUAGCAACUCUCGGUGCAAACAGGAAUUGGCCAAUACAGCCUCGACCCGCUUGAGUGGCCCAGAUUUAAGCGAGUAGUGCACACUCCAAGAACUUGAAAUUUGAGCAGAUAUUGGAUUAGAGACAAAUCAGUAAAAUGAGAACGACUAUGAAGACAAGAAAUCUGAAGUGAGCAUGCAACCUGGGACCACGAAACAGGGUGGGACGCGGUAAUCCUUCCCGUCAAUCUGUGCAACUUGACCCCAGGGACCCCCAGUAAAAAAGAAUUUUUUCUUCCAAGUGCCACCACCACCAGUUGGAAGAUCAGUUAUGGGUUUUUUGGUCUUGGUACUAGAUUGGAAGUAAUACCAGCCGGCAUCUUUAGGGCUGCUCUUUAGCUAGUUCAGGUGCUUCACCUCGUCAACUGUUGGCUCGCUUUGACAACAUCUGUCCCACAAUAUGAACAGACUAGAAAGUACCCGCCUCCCAUUGGGGUUCAGUUGACCAGGAGCUAAAUUCAACCCAUUGAGUAUUCGAGCAAAGUAGGGCUGUAUGGGGCACCUCAGCCCAAAUUUAAAACUAUCUAGAAAUAGAGUAACAUAUCCCCUAGGAGGCCGGUUGGGGGUAUCCUUCUUUCCUGGGACCCUAAGAGGUAUCUCAUCGGGAAUUCCAUACCUAAUCCGGAGAUUAGUGAGCUCGUCUACCGUGGUCGUGCAUGUGAUGAAAUCAAUAGCGUAGUGCUGUGAUAGAGCUUUACCCCCUACUGUGCUCUUGUUAUCUGGUCGCGAUGUUCCUGGUGGAGAUGUUUCACCAGAAUCAUCCUCCUGGUCUUCACUUAAGGUGUCUUCCGAACCAGAAGAACCCUCGUCGUCGCUAUUACCGGUUGAGGAGGUUAUUGGGGGGGGGACAUCCUCCUAGCACUAGUUCCAACACUAGAUCUAAUGGGUUCUAAGGGGAUCUCGGGGUCAAAGGCAGGACCGACGAGCAGACUAGGCAAGAAGCCUAACUCAUCGUCAUCAAUCUCAAUAACUUUCUCUUUGCCUUUUGACAUUCCCUAAACUAUAACCAGAGCAGUAUCACCAAACACUACCCAAACAAGACAGAGAGAAAAGAAAUUGUCUACAACUAUUCAAGACCAAGGAGAUAGAAAUAAUACCUGAAGUUGUAGCUCAGUCAAAGAGAGACAGGGAUAUAAGCUUUCUAUGCCGAAAAUCCUUCACCGGAGAGACAUAUAUGGAGCAAAUGACGAGUUUCUCUUUUGGGGGUUUUUCGAUUUUCCUAAUGAGGAACAAACGCUUGGGCUACCAGCAUUUAACGGCACUAAUCCAAAGAGUUUCGUAACCAUCGGUUUGAAAUUCAAAUGGAGGGAUAGAUUUCUGCACAUCACCUCAUCCGUAAGUAAAUGCGACACGACUCUUGGCAGCCUUUGCCUACCCCGCACGAGCCAGAACCGUUGAGUUUCUACUGUCGGCUCACUAUGUUACCCAACACCAGAAACUGGGGGACCAGUGUUUGGGGGAUAUACUUUGACGAGACCAGCCGUGAUGAGCAGAGAUCUGGUAGCAGGGGUACGCGAACAGGUAUAUCUUACAGAAGUCUGGUAGCAUGGUAAUAGGAGCAGGAAUAUUCUGCUCGUCCACGAAUACGCCGUCCACGAAUAGGUCUCCUGUCUGAAGCAUAAAACCAUUCCUGCUAGGGGUUGAGGCGAGGAGACCCGGUCAACGACAGUUGGCGAGAUGGGCUCUCAAACUCGAGAAUCAAGGCACGAAGGCCAUGCAGCCACCCACGAUUACGGAAACGGAGCAUCCAUCUUCGAGAGGUGGGAAGAUAACGGGCGUGAAUAGAGGGAAGGUCUGAACUCAGGAGAAGCCUAUAAAAGGGUAGCCCAGGAACACCAAACCUUCAUUUCUGACUUGAGCGUCGGAGGGUUUACGCCGGGAAAACAACCGACGUGCUCUGACUUGUUUCUGUGUACGCAGGGAUUUUUGGAGAAGGAGUCAUACGAGGAGAGAUCCUGAUCGUGGUCGAGUUGAUCGAGCAGAGAUCCUGGUCGUAGUCAAGAGGGUAAUCAGAAUCUCGCAUCAACAGAAAGGUCCAUCCGUCGCUUGGAUUGCUGAAUCGCUCUUUUGGAUAAAUUUUCCGUGCUUUUAACAAAAGAAAAUUAUAGAGAUUGAACAAUUAGCAACAUACAGAAAGUUAAAAUUACUAACAAAUGAGCAAUUAUACUUUUCCAGCAAGUGAUUUCUGCUUUCUUAGACUGUUGAAACGAUUAAUAUGAAACGAGCGAUUGAACAAUUAGAAAGACACAAUGCCCAGCCUGGACUUUUUUUUUUUUUUUUUGGUAGUUUCAAAUGAUGGAUUAUAGAAAGGAUAGAAUGAAAAAUAAGGAUAAAUUGGGAACUAAAUGGGUACACUAAUAAGAAAUAAGAAUAAUUUAUUUUUAAUUGGUCUGUUAAAAGAUGGAGUCUAAUGAAAUAAAAUGAGGAGUUUAAAUAUCACUUUUUCCAUAGAGUUGGCCAACUAGCACUCUUCUAAUUUUUAAUUUUUUUUCUAUCAUUAAAAUUUAAAAUAGUAUUCUCUUCUUUGUUUUAUUUUGCAAUCUUGUUAUGUAUACGCAUAUUUUAAAUCCUAAUUUGACUUAAGUUAUACAGAUUAGAUAAAAUGUUUUUCAGGAAUAAUUGAUUCCCAUGCCCUGAACGUGUUUGAUAAAAUGCCCAUAUAGGAACUCACAAAAUGAACAAGUAAAUGCUGAUGGAAAUCACAACUUUUUCCCCCUCUGGUCAAUAAGAUAAAACAGUACUUGGCUGAGCCUAAGCAGCUAAAAUAACAGCUUGAUUAAUGCUUUUCGCAGCAAGGAACCUACGAAAAAAGCCUUAAAUUAAUUGCUUCCGUCCAGACUCUUGCUUAGUUUACUGAUCACCAUCAUUGUGGUAAUUUUGGCAAAGUGAUUGUAGUCAAUAGCUUUCCUCUGGUUUCUCCCUGAUUUUGUACUAACUUUGGUGUCCGAGACCGCAACUGGUUUCCUGACAACUUGAAACGGGAUUGAUUGAGGUUUUGGAGGCGGCUUUUUAUCGGCUUUAAUUUGAACUUCUUUAAGGAUUCAAGCGAUUUCUUCUUCAAAUUGUCUCAAUCUUUCACUAUCAAACUCAAACAGCAAAUCUUUGUUGUCAUUAAGAUCUUCAUCAAUGAUCCUUUGAAUAAUUUCUUUCGGUUUCUGGAAUAUUGAUCUAAUUAGUGCUUCACCUUCUUCUUUUUUCAAGCUCUUAUCCUGGGCAGUUGUGCUCUGCCUACUCCCGUGGCCUCAAGCAUAGGAUCUACACUAACAGUUGCAUGUUUUCAUUUCUUCAAGUGCUGCAAGAAUAUCCCAUCUCCUUUUUUGAAGUCAAGGUUCUAUUCUCCAAAGCUUCUCUUCAGCAUCUCUCUUCUUUUUCGGCUUGUCUGCUUCCUUAUCCUCCACACGCCGAGGUUCCAAUACAACUUAACCGACUCUUCUCAGGAUUUGGGAGGCACUAGGGCUUUUCUUCUCUUGUCGAACAGGAUCAAAUAUAAACGGUUAAUGUUGAAGCGUCUUUGGUAGGCACCGAUACAGCGAUCAAUAAUUUAGACAUAGAGAGUAAUUGUUUAGGAAUUGUGUAUUAUUCCCAUGUCCAUAACAUGUUUGAUAAAAUGCCCAAGAAGGAACCAUAUGUCCAACACUCCAACCUGUUGCGUUGAACAGAGAUGAUGCAUCUGUUACUCCAACUCUAUGAUUUCCCAAGAAAACAAUCAAUAUGUGAAUGUUUAGGUGCAGAUAGCACAGGCUAGUAGCUUGUAAGAACCAGGCAAAAAGCAGAACAAUUUCAAUUCUUUGAAACAGAGAGCAGUUAAGUAAAUUCAUAAUUUCAUAACAUCUUUUAUAAUUUGCAAACUGUAAUACUUUUAUGUGAAUUGUUGUCAGUGUAGUUCAACAAAGUGUCUCAGACUCAUGGAACAAGAAUGUUGACAAGCUUAGCAAGCAAUGAAUAGUAGAACUGAUCGACAGGGUUGGCAUUAGGUAUAGGGGAACAAGACAGUCGCCUAAGGCCUCAUAUUUUAAGAAGACCUCAUUUUUUGAGUAUUUUCUUAAUAAUUCUCUAAUUAAUAAAAAAAUUUAAUGCGUAUUUUAAGAAAUUAAAAAGUUUAUUAGAUAUCUCUCUAUUCUUCAUUAUCCUACAAUUAAAAAUUAUUUUUUAUUAAAAAAUCUAUAUUUGGGAACCUUAAUUUUAAAGAAAUAUAAUUAAUAAAAAUUAUGCAUUGACAUGGACCUUUAUUUUUUAUGUCUUUGUUCUUUUUUAAGUUGCAGGAAGUGUCGAAACCAAUACCGCAUUUAAGCAUUGUUGUUCCAAGAAGUGAAAUUCCAAUGUGUUUCAGGUAUCAGAAUGAAGGUUCUUCAAUAGCUGUCACAACGCCUUUAUUUUGGCGUAAAAGGAAUGAGGUGGUGGGAUAUGCUAUUUGCUGUGUUUUUAAUGUCCGUAAACAUUCACCUGGUAUCAAAAGUUUGCGCUCAUACCCCACACAUCAGUUGAGCUGCCAUAAGAAAGAUUCUUAUAUCAGUAGUUAUAUUGAUUUUAGGGAAAAGUUCGGUCAAGCGGGGUCAGACCAUAUUUGGCUUUUAUAUUUGUCUCGUGAAGAAGACUAUUUGCGCAAAUGGAAUUUUGAAUCUCAGGAUUUUGUGUUGUCAUUUCAGUCUGAUUCAAGCCCAGGAUUGGAGGUGAAGAGGUGUGGUUUCCAUCGAGUUUAUAAGCACGAAGUGGCGAAGUUCGACCAUGCAACAAACCUAUAGACUCGGUCUAUUGAUUAUAAUCUGAAUGGAAACGUUUGGUCUCGGUUUAUUGAUCAUCUGCAUGAAUUGUGUCAAAAUCGAGCUCAGCUCAACAAUGUAUGUACGGGGUCGGUUAAUUGAUUAUCUGGAUGAAAACCAAGGGGAGGAUUUCGACCAAACAACAAACCAAUGGACUUGGUUGGUUUCUUGAUCAUCUGAUUGAAUUUUUUCCAGAUGCAGGAAAGUUCAACCAAGCAUGUUAUUUGUUUUUUUAUUAUAUCCAAAUGCAAAGAGGAGUCCGAGACCUCUGGAGUCUGCGAAGAGCUCUCAAAAUGAAGGGAGUAAGGCCCAGCAGUCGAUACGAUUUCGUAGACAUAAUCUUUAUGAAGAUUUUUUUUUCCUUUGUUUAAUUGCUUGUUAUUUAAUUUUUUUUUGAAACUUUGGCUGAAAAUUUUAAAUUUUAUGAAGUUAAAAUUGUAAUUAUUAUUUUUGGAAAAAAGUUGUGUGCCAUUUGUUGUGACUUCUAUUUGCUAUCACAAUUUGUUUUUUUAAAAAAAUGAUUAUUAUUUUAUUUAUUAAUUUAAAAAUAAAAAAAUUAUACAAUUUUGGCUUCCUCAAUUUAAAAUUUAAUUUAUAAAAUUUAUAUGAAAGAAAAUAAAUUAAUAAAUGUAAUUAAAUUCAAAACCAAUAAACUAAAUUAUUGAACUUUAUUAUCCAUAAAAACAUCCAGUACUUCUAAAUUUCGAAAACAUACAAUUCAAACUUUACAAUACAUUAGUUAAAUCAAUAUUUCAAAGUCAAGCCAAUGUAGGGAUGGCAAUGGGGCAGAUAUGGGUUGGAUCUACUCUGCUCCGGAUCCAAAUCCAUAAUAAAAAUAAAGAUCCGUAUCUGCUCCAGAUCCGUCAUGAAUUUAUAUUUUUCGCUCCAUAUCCAGAUCCAAAAAAGAAAUAAAUAUCUAUAUCUGCUCCAAAUCCAAAAAAAAAAAAUUAAAAUCCAAAUCUGCUCUAGAUCCGUUAUGAAUUCUAAAAUUCAGUAAUAAAAAAGUAAUAAUUUUUUAGAUUGAAAAUUGAAGGGUAAAAUGUAUUGAUAACAAAUAAAUCAUAUAAUUUUUCUCAAAAAUAUAAUAAAUAUUGUAGCUUAUACUUUUACACCAAAACAACAAAUAAGAAAGAUAAUAAAAUAUCAUUCCGAAGUAAUUGCAGGAGUAAGAUCAAUCUAAUAUUCUAUUGUCUCCUUCAUCAUUCUAAUAUCCACGAUACACCUACCCUCAUUCCUACAACAUUAGAUAAUGACAUAUAAAUUAAAUAUGGUUUAUAUUCAGUCCUUUAUUAUUUUUAUUAUGACCAUAUUUGACUAAAUAUAUGAAUAACUAUAUUCCUUAAAAAUUAUUUGGCCAAUAUAAUAAAAUAAAUUGCCAGGUUAUAUUACUUGGCUUGCAAUUUGAAUAUUGCAUAUACAUGCUUUGGGGCUGGCUGACCUUUAAAUUUACAAAACUAACCUUUAAGUUUUAAGAGUUUAAAUACAUGGUAAAUACUACUAAUAUGUUAUGAAUAAAAUUUAUUAUCAUUAUAAUUUCACAAUUGUUAAGAAACUUUUAAAAUAACAUAAAAUUAAAAUAUGAGUGGAUAUGGAUAUGGAUUUAGAUAUUAAGAUAGAUCCAAAUCUGCUCCAGAUCCAUCUUAGAUCCGCACAUCAAUAUCCAAAUCCGAUCCAAAUCCAUUUUAAACCGAUCUAAAUCCAAUCCGAUUGGAUUUGGAUCACGUGGAUCUUGGAUCCGAUCCAAUCCAUUGCCAUCCUUAAGCCAAUGGCCAACAAAGGCCAAUCAAAAAUCUAAGUAAUGUACUCAGCAUUCAGCAAUAUCCAGCACCAAAGCCAUGCAAAAUGUAGUCCUUUUCCAGCAGCAGCAAAGCCAAGUAAAACGUAUCCCAUUCCAUCAAUUGAAAAUAUUAAGUGAAAAAUAGGCAUUUAUUCAUGGAAAUAAUAAGAACAAUGUCUUCAUAAAGGAAAAAGAUACAAGUAAAUAAUAGAAUAUGAAAAUAUUUAGUGAAAAAUAAGCCAAGACCCCUUUUUUCCAUUCUCUGAAGUAAGGCAUUAAAAAAGAUUAAAGAAAUUAUGAUUGUUUCCGCACUUGGAGCAGGUAGAGACAAACUCUGGUCAUUUACUGUUGCCUUGGCACCAUUUGAAUAUGCCCUGCUUUUUUUUUUUUUGAACAGUCUUUAAGCAAGUUGAGAUUCAUGAGACUUAGCAAUUCCAUAAGCCUGAUCAGAACACCAGAUUUCUCAGGGGUUCCAAAUUUAAAGGACCUGGAUCUUGGAGGAUGUACAAGAUUGCGUAACAUUCACCCUUCAUUGCUACUUCAUAAGAAAGCUUAUUUUAUUGAACCUUAAAGACUUCAGUAAUCUUACUACUCUUCCGAGCAAGAUGAAGAUGAAAUCCCUAAGAAAACUUGUACUUUCUGGUUGCUCUAAGCUGAAGAACUUUCUGGAGAUUGUGGGAACUGCGGAAUGUCUGUUGGACCUUUUUCUUGAUGGAACAGAUAUUAUGGAACUACCACCAUCAAUCCGGUUUCUUUUUGGACUUACUUUGUUGGAUUUGGAAAACUGCACCAAUCUUGUGGUACUUCCAAGUACUAUAAAGGGUUUAACAUCUCUUGAAAUGCUGAAUCUCUCUGGCUGCUCCAAAUCUAAAAAUGUUUUAGAGAGUUCUGAAAAAGUAGAAAGCUUUGAGGAGCUUGAUUUGACUGGAGCGGCUUCAAGGAACCGAGUGUGGUCCAUAUUUUCUAUGAAGAAUUUUGAAGCACUGUCUUUUCUUGGUUCCAAAUUAUCACAAUCAUCAACGUCACGUUAUUUGCGCUUCCCCAUCAAUUGGUUUCAAUCAAGGAGUUCACGUCCUUUAUCUUUGAAGUUGCCUUCUCUGUCAAAUUUGUGUUCAUUAAGGAAAUUGGAUCUCAGUGACAGUAAUUUGGGGGAAGGAGCAAUCCCCAGUGAUAUUGGCAACUUAUGCUCAUUAAAAGAGUUAUGUUUGAGUAGAAACAGUUUUGUUUCGCUACUGGCAAGCAUUCUUAAGCUUCAAGAACUGGAGUUGGAAGAUUGCAGAAGGCUUCAAUUUUUGCCACAACUUCCACCCAACAUAGAGCACGUUUGAGUAAAUGGCUGUAUUUCGUUGGGAUCAUUAGCAGCUGAAUUGAAAUUAUGCAAGUCAGAGUACACGUUAAUUAGAUGUAUGGACUGCUUGAGAAUGCUCGGUACCAAUAAUCUGGCAUUUUCAUUACUAAAAGAGUACCUCGAGGUCAGCCUCUCACUUUAUAUCUAUCAGCUGUUUAGGCAAUGGCAUAUUUUUAUUUUUAUAGUUAUUAUAAUUAUUUAUUUUUUUUAUUUUUGGGUUUCAGGCAAUGUCAAAUUCACGAUUUAGCAUUGUUGUUCCGGGAAGAGAAAUUCCAGAGUGGUUCAUGUGUCAGAAUAAUGGUUCCUCAAUAACACACGGAUGGCCUUCAUAUAAGUAUAAAAAGAAUAAGGUGGUGGAAUAUUGCAUUUGCUGUGUUUUUCGUGUCCAUAAUCAUCUACCUCCUGCCAGAGGGAGAAUACACCUCAACGCAUAUCAGUUGAAGUUCCGUAUGAAAGAUGGAGGAUAUUUUAUUGAUUUUGGAAAGAAAUUCGGUCAGUGUGGGUCAGACCAUCUCUGGCUACUCUAUUUUUCUAUUCAAUACUGCAAUGACCAGAAUUGGCAUCUUGAGUCAGAUCUUGUUGAGUUGUCAUUUUGGCCUGACACGGGCCCAAGAUUGGAGGUGAUAAGGUGUGGUUUCCAUCCAGUUUAUAUGCAUCCAGUGAAGGAGUACAACCGAACAACGUACCAAUGGAAUCGUGUUACUGCUUACAAUCUGAAUGGAUGCCAUCAGAAUUUUGAUGGAUCAAAGCCAAGUCUUAUUGAAUACGUUGGGUCGGAAGCCAGAGGAAGCGACUGUUGUGAUGAUGAGGAACAGCAACAACGGCCUAAAGAGUUAGAGAACUCAAAUAAAAGGUGAAGCUUACGUAUUAUUCUCUGGAUUUGUCAGCCAGUGUGCAUUUGAACACAAUUUCAGUUUAUGAAUUUUGUCAAGAGUUGAAUUUUGCGAUUUCUCAUUAGUUGAAAAGUAAUGAAAGAGGGGAAAAAAAAACUUACAAGACUGAAAUGAAUCCUCUGUUUUUUUGAUUUUUUAUAAAUAUAGUACACAUUUAACUGAAAACCAUUAAUUUUACAACAACAGUACCUUUAUUUUAUUUGCAUCAAAGGCAUGAAAAUGACUCGCUGAGGGGUUUUGAUCUUGAAUGAGAUGAGGAGUUAACUAUGAGGUAAUGACUCACAAUCUUACAUUCCCUACUUAUUGCACGAAAGAUGCCGGAUGCAGAGCUAGUUUUCGGUAUACUUGAAGGGGCUGCGUAAUGAUUGAUUUAUAAAGGAAAAUGGAAUGUAAUAAUAAAUGUAAGAUUAAAAUUUUUCUAGUGGUGUUUAGAAGAUUUUCAAUGUUUAAACAGCUAAGCUAGCCUUACCAUAAGGAUCAUAUCAUAUAUUUGAUAUAAUAUCGUUUAUUUUUUUUUCUGUUUCAUUAAUCUUAUUUUAAGUUACAGUGUAUACAAAAUUUCCUGGAGGAUGUUCAGACGGCAGUUUUGUCAGCUAUUUAAUAAACUAAAGAAGCACAUCUUUUUCUUGAGAUAACGAGUGCCGUGCGAGGAUGAAAUUUUAUAAUAUUUAUUAAAUUCUUUGAAAUUUGUCAGUUUUUCUUUUACCCCCCAAGGAAUCUUCUAUUGAAACUUUUGAUUGGGCAAAAGAUGUGAAGCCUAUCACCUACUAAAUAACAAGAAGAGCAGACAAAGGAAAUAUGUCAAAGAAAAUAUGGAGGGGUUGGUUUGUUCCAUGUAUCUUCUUUGUCAUAAUAUUUUUUUAUUCAAUUAAAGUCUAAAUAUUUUUAUUUUUUGGCAAGACACUUUUGAUCUAACCUGCCGUUGGCAUGUAAAAGAAAAGAAAUAAUUAAUGUGAUUUCUGCGAAUUUUCAGGGACUUAAUCAUGAAUAUUAAAAGAGGCUCUUCAACUGUCACAGCUUCUUUCUCUUAUUGGCCGCAUGAUGUGUUCUUAAGCUUUAGAGGCGAAUAUGUCUGCAAGAACUUCAUGGAUCAUCUCCAUGCUGCUUUGAAUCAAAAUGGAAUUAAUGUUUUCGGGGAUGACAAAAAACUUGAGAGAGGAAAAGAUUGGUAUGGUUAAAUUGGAGUUAGUGUGAACGUAGUAGCAAAUCAAUUUCAUAGUAUAUAUAAAUUACUCCAAACUAUGCAAUAUUCAUUUCAUCAAAUUGAAGUCAUAUAAUUAAGUAACAUGCUAUAGUUACGUCAGAAACAAUUGGAACGAGAAAAUUCAAACCCAACACUACUACAAAAUUAUUUAAUUUCUUCUGCUAUUUUUUUCUCAAUUAUUAAUAACCAAUUAAACACAUCAUCUCCACUGACCAGCUUAGCCAUUAGAUCUAUUGGCUGAAUUAGAAAAGGACAUUGUUUGCAGUACCUUGAAACUGUAGCUGGACCCUAAUUUAUAUAUAUAUAUAUAAUAUUAAUACAGUACUUAAUUACAUUUCUGUUUCGUGUAUAAUUUCCUGGAAGAUGGUCCAACAGCAGCAAUAUUUUUAUAUUUUUAUUAUUUGAUCAUAUCAUCAUAUCAACAACAGCAAUAUUACUUAAAGUAUCAUCAUAUCAUAUGUUUGAUCUUAUCUCAAUUAUAUUUAUUUUUUUAUUAUUUCAUUUGUCGUAUUUUAGUUUCUUAGUAUUUAUUUUACAUAUAAAUAAUUCAUAAAUAUUUGCAUUUCUGUUUCACACAUACUUUCCUAGAAGAUAUUCCAACAGCAGAUUAAACAAACAAAAUGAACUGUUGUGUCACCUACUCAAGAACAAGAAGAAGAGACAGAAAAUAAAUAAAUAAAUAAAUACAAUAAAGAAAAUGAUCAGUGGGGAGGUUGGUUUAUUCCACGUAUCUUCUCUGUCAAGACUACUUUAAUUGUUUCAUUAAAUAGUCUAAAUUAUUAUUAUUAUUUAACUAUAUUUGAAAAAAAAAAGUUUCGGUGUUUAGAUUAUUGAAGCUUUUGGUAUCUUUGACUAUGUCUUUGAUUCCAUUCUCCAUCGUAGAUCAUAGUCACUCUUUAUAAUUAUCUUUUGCAAAAACUUUUGAGGAGACUUGCAACCGAAAAUGAAGGAAUUAAUUAGAAGGCAUGAAACCCUCUUGUUGAUUUCUUUGAAACAAACUUAAUUGGAAUCCAAAGUAAAGAAAGUUAGCGAAAUUACAAAAUUGCUAAGGUGCUUUACAAAAUUCGUGAUUUCCAAGCAUUGACAGAUAAUGCAUUAACUAAUGCAGAAAUGAUCAAAUUACAAGCCUCACAGGUUGCUAUGUUUCUCUUGAAGGAUGAUUCAAAUUCCCUAUGUUUGUUAGUUAAGUGGCUGACGUGGACUCCACUUACAAGUUUUAUCUGAGUUGAAUCUCUUGACCACUGCUUGUAUAAAAAUCUGAAAAAUAACUUACAACUUCUGAAGUUUGUAACCAAAGAUGCCUCCAAUUAUUUCUGAGAGAAAUGGACAGCUUUUGAAAGGAAUUUAGAUCUAUGAAAAAUAAAUGUAGGCAAUUAAAAAUCAAAAAUUAAUUUUCUGGAAGUACUGUUUACUGUUACUGUUUACUGCAACUGUUCACAAUUACUGUUUACGAUUACUGUUCAUCCGCAUAAAAAAUAUUAAUUUUCCAAAAACACAAUAAAAAGUAAAAUAAAUGACACGAAGAUUUUUACGUGGUUUGGAUUAAUCAAUCCUACAUCCACGAGGCCACGCCCAGAUGAAAAGCAAUUCACUAAGUUAAAAUGUUACAACCUAUGGAUUUACCAAACUUAAGACUCUGACUUACAGUUUAUCAUCAUACAGUUUACUUAACCUUAGACUGAAUUUGGUUCUCCUGAAUAAUUGCUACCCCUCUUGAUCCACGAUCCUCAAGGCACUUCGCAAAGUGAUCAAUAGCAAUUCUUCAAUUCUUCUACGUCUAGUGAUCCAAGAUCCACAUAGAUUCUUCACAGAGAUGAAAAGAAGAUAAGAAAACAAAUCAGAGAUAAGAAAACAAAUCAACACAACAUUAUGCGCCAAAUCCGGAUUCUCUAGGGAGGAGGCCGAAUUUUGCUUCUCUGCAUUAUGCUCUGUGUCGUGCAUAUAUAUCUUCAAUUAUGAAAUACUUCUCUUUAUAUAGGCACUAGGGUUUCACCAAAAUAGAAAGUCUUAAAAGACUUGGAUUCUUUCCAAAUAAGAGUUUCUUUCCUCUUAUAAUUCUCAUGAAUCUGAAUAGGAAUAAAUCUGAUCUUCUUGUCUUGCUUUCUCUCAAGAAAUAUCUAGAGCAUUUAAUGAACUUCCUGUUUGAACCAACUUCUUGCUCUAAAUAGAUCUCAUGCGUCAAGUAUAGAAUCCCACCAUUCAUUGACUUGCUAAAUUAGACAUCUAAUUAAAUUAGGAAACAAAUAUUCCUAAUAAAUUGGAAUCUCACUAAAUUAGGGAAUUAAUAAAUUAAUCCCUAUUACAAUAUAUGCAAUAAACAAACUUCUAAUUUAACUAGACUUGUCAUAAAAUACCAACUCUAUAAAUAAUGACCUUAACAACUUUAAACCUUUCUUCUCAAGCUUUAAGCAACUUCAAAGAAAAAUGUCAAGCCUUCAACCCUUACUUUCCAAUCUUUACUUAUUUUAAUGAGAAAUACGUCAAUGCUAAUUCGCAUAUUUUGAUGUUUGAUUAAUUAUUGAUAUCAACCGUUGGAUUCCAUUCCAUUUAAUGGAAUCCAAUGGUUUCAACAUGGGUAUUGAAGAGUGGGCGCUUCGCUUAAUCGGUUAUUUGAAAUCUUAUAAAAAUUUAAUAGAAAGAUUUACUAAAUGCAUACGACUAUUUUUAAAACUCACAAAACUUUUGAAAAUAAAUUUAUCAAACAUCUAAUUAAUUAUCUUUACAGAUGAUUAUUUAUACCACACAGUUAAUGACAAUUAAAACUACAACAUUAUUAAUUUGAUCCAACAUCUCCUAAGGACUCAAACGAAGUUUUACUAAUGAAAGGUUUCUAAUAAAAGGUUUACCAUUCCUAUAGAUUGCCGGCAAUUUAAAUAUUUUUAUCAAUUACUGAUAUCAACCGUUGGAUUCCAUUCCAUUUUAAUGAAAUCCAAUGGUUUCAACGUGGCUAAUGGGUAAUCAUAUUGAGUUGUCGUUUAAAUCCCCCUCAAUUCGUGAAUUGAAGGUGAAGAGGUGUGGCUUCCAUCCAGUUUAUGUUCAUGAAGUGGAGGAGUUUGACCAAACGACAAAGCAAUGGACUCACUUUACCUCUUAUGAUCUGAAUGAAUCCCAUCAUAAUUUUGUUGGAUCAAAUAUGGAAGUAGCCACAACAUCAAAGCGAAGCCUUGCAGAAAAUGGAGUGGCAGCUGAAGCCAGUGGCAGUGGUUGCUGUGAUGAUGAUGACGAACCACCACGUAAAAGAUUUAAACAACUCAAAUGAAGGGUAAAGCCUGGUGUAACAGUGAGAGUACGCAUCCCAAUUUCAAUUUAUGUUCUUUAAAUUUGCAUAUGGUAUUUCAUUUACUUUUUAUUUGUCCAUUUAUUGUAUCUACUUUGGCAAUUUAUUUUCGUGUUAAAUUGAAGCAUUGAAUUUUGUGAUUUCUCAUGAGUUGAAAAUUAAAGAAAGAGGGAAAAUUAAUCCUUUGUUUUUUAUACAAAGAUCAUAUCAUAUAUUUGGCCAAAAAGAUUUUUGGCAAAAAAAUAUUGUUCAUGGCUGUCUUCAGUGUGAACAUUUGUGAUUUUUAUCUCUUUUAUUUUGAUGUUGGAAUUUUUUUGGUCUGAAUUUAACUAUGCUUAUUUAAUUUAGGUUUUUUUACUUUUGUUGAACCGUGUUGAUUCUUUUUAUGUUGGAUUAUUGACACCCCUCUAAUCUUUUCAUAAAACCUUAUUAUUAUUAUUUUUUCCAAUUAUUCUUAUUUUUUAUUCCAAAAAUGUCCCUUUUUAAUCACUCAUCUAAUUUUUAAUCUUAUUUUCUUAUCGAAGUUGAGGUCUAGCUUCACAGCUAAGCUUUUCUAACACCUAGGUUCUCGUCUUGAUCUUUAAUGGAUGCGUGAGUUAAUUUAAAAAUGUCUUUUAUUAUUUUCUUGUUGAUUCUUUUCAAGGAGUUGGAUUAUUGCCACACCUCUAAUAUUCUCAUAAGACUCUUGUUUUUUUUUUUAAUUAUUCUUUCUUUUAAGGGAAAACGACAUGUACACCCCUAGGUUUGAAGAAAUGGUCACCAACACCCCUUUUUGACUAUUAUGCCAUUUUAAAAAGUUUUAAAUUUUUAAUAAAUUGAAAUAGUACAUAAAUAAUGUAAUCUAUGCAAUAGACUAAGAAUAUUAAAAUAACUUAAUAUUUUAAUAAAUUUUAAUAUGUAUAUUGUUAUAUUUAUUUACUAAUAUAUAUUUAUUUAUUUUAGAUAUUUUAAAUAAAUAUUUGCAUUAAAUAUACUUUACAAUAAAACAAUCUCACAUACUAAUGUUAUUAUUAUUUUACAUAAUAUUCAAAAUAAUUUAAAUUUUAAUACACUUGUUUUAAUAUUAUGAUUCUAUUUAUUAUAAAAUUUAAUGUUAUAUAAUAAAAUAUAUCUAAUAGAUUGUAAAAUAUUAAAAUAUUUUCUAAGUAUUGAAAUUAUUUUACAAUGUAUAUAUUAUUACAUUUAUUGGAGGAAUUAAUUAGAAAGCAUGAAAUCCUCUCAUUGAUUUCUUUGAAACAAACAAAAUUGAAAUUAUCUUUAUUGAGAGGAAUUAUCUUUGGCAAAGUAAAUUUUCAUCAUCUUUCAGUGCGUCCAACACGCUCAAAGCAUUACGUUUUCUCGCAGUUUUGUAUUCCAACAUUGCUUCCCAUGAAUGUUUUGUUGCGGAAGUGUGAGAUCCAGCAAUUACCAAUAUUACGAUGACUAUAACUUUUGGAGAAAUAUAAAUGUGACAAACAAAUACAAAAAAAAUAUGACACAAUAAUUUACGUGGUUCGGCGUAAUGCCUUUGUCCAUGAGCAAAGACUGUGAGAUAAUUUUACUAAUAAUAAGAAUUUACAAAAGUAGGAAAAAUUCACAAAAUCCACAACCCCAAUACACCCAAAUAGAACCUCAUUAAAACACUCAAGUGGAAACUCUCUCAAAGAACUCACUUGCAAUUGCUCUCUACUUCUCUCAAAUUGUAAUGCUUUACAAAUGCAUUCUACUACUCUAUUUAUAGGCAAAGCUUACAAUAUGAAUGCAUGAAAAAAAAAAAAAAUUUGCCAUUUUCAAUUUUAAUGGCUUUGGUGUGACUUUUAGUGAAGAGAUCAUGCUAGCACAUGCAAUUGGAUCACGCUAGCGCAACAUUGGUGUGCUUGAAAUUUGCAUGCUAGCUGGCUCAUGCAAGCAUGCUUGACUUUUCAACAUGUUUGUCUUACAUUAUUAUGUAUUAAGUGUUUUUUUUCUUUUUUUCUUUUUUUUGGAUGUGAUAGAUUAAGUGUUUCUAAUCACUCAAAUAGUCAAUAUUAGAGGAGAUUAUGUUCUCUUCUUUGCUGAUUUUGAUUAUUUAUGUACAGUUUUUUUGGUACUUGUUGAGUUGGAACUCAAUGUGAGUACACAUUUUUUUCCCCAACAACACAAAAAAACACAAUUGCUUCUUCAACUUCUUCUCUUAUUCAUAUGCUGAAAAAAAGAAGAACAUUGAACAAUCCAUUGAAGAAAGAAGGCAUUUAUAUUGUGAUCAAAAGGAGGUUUUCCACUUGUGAUUUCCUUUAAGCCAUUAACGUGAUCCAACAUUCGAUCAUUCCGCUACAAGACUCGUGAAGAAAGGUAGGGUCUUGAAUCCUUUUAUUUUCUUUUAAUUUAAGAGGCAUUUACUCAUAAAAAUCCUUUGCUUUUCAUCAAAACAAAUAUAUUUGCCUUAUUAGCUUAAGUUCUCUUUAAGCAAAGCACUUCAUUGGAAUUCAUUAACUUACAAAAAACCUCUCUAUUUAAGAUUUGCUCAGGCACACUCUUCCGUCAGGAUCUGAAAAGUCAAAUUUUCUAAUAUAGUUUGGGAUUUGUGGUAUGAUAUUUUCUUUUCUUUAAAGAAAGGAUAACAUAAAAUUGUGUAAGAUCAAUUAAAGUAGAAAUUUGAUUCAUACGUAACUAUAACUUAAGUGAUCACAUAAUAGUUGAUUUCUUUUUACAAAUUCGACAUGCUUAUUUCUUUUUUGUAUAAUUUUUAUUUUAUUUUAUUUUUACUAUAGUAAGCCGAAAAUUGAUAUUAUAUUUUAAAAAUAAAAAUAAAAAUAUUAUUAAUAAAAAUAAACUAAAUAUAUUAUAUUUUAAAAAUAAAAAUAAAUAAAAAUAUAUUACUAAUAUAAAUAAUAUAAAUUUAUUAUUCUUGACUAAUAUAAAUUUAAAAAUAAAUAUAAAUCAGUUAAGGGUUAGUGACGUGUCCAAGUUUGUUAACCGUGGUAGAGCGAAGAGUUAGAGAGGGUUUAUUGAGCUCACGCUCUUCCUUGUCAUUUCCUCGGUGAAUUUUUAUGGGUUUAAAUACUUGAACCUCGGAAUUGAGGCUACAAUGCUUAGUGCACAAUGUUGAAUUGAGGAUUUUAGGAAGACAGACAAAUAUCUAUAUGAAUAUGAUCGAUCUCAGCUUGAUUUGGGCUCAGAACAAACGAUAAAUAGACAAAGGAAUGAUUAUCUGGAAUUUGCAGGCCAGGUUCAAGAGAGGAGUUGUUGAGGAAUUAUGGUAUAAUUCUCGUGCCUAGGACGUGUUCGAUAAUAUGCCUACCAACGAAUGUGCAUCCCACCUGAUGUGUUGCACCAACUCUAUGGUUUCCCAAGCAAAAGCAAUCAAUCAACAAGGUCAAUUCGUGAAGGUUUGUCCUGCGUGAGUCAUAGCUAGUGAGCAGAUUCUGAGAGUCUUUAGUCUUUAACAGAAUUUUACCACAAACACAGUGCAAACCCAGUGUUUAUUUAAUCAAUUAUUUCUUUUCUAGCGGCUAACAUUUUUUCAAAUUUCUAAAUAAAAAUAUACAUGACAGAAUUUGAUUAUUUGUUGUUUCGUGACUGAUGUGGUAGAACGAAGGAAUUGUAUAAUUUCUUGAGUUUUAGACAUAAAACAGAGUCGGGCCAUAGAAUGAACGAAAAAAAUAUCAUCACAUUUGUUGGAAUGAUGCUGUGCUUUAUUCAAAAUUAUUUCUUCCACUUGCGAAGCAAUCAAUAAUAGUGUUAAUUCUUGAACCUGUGAAAAGCAAUUAAUUUUCUUCAUUUGUUUACAAGCAAUCUUCCAUAACCAUUGUGCUUGGCUGUGAAAUACCCCAUUUGUGGCUGAACAUAGAAUCUGUUUUUUGUUGCUUUUUGCGAUCUUUGGCUUAAUUUACAAUUCAUGGCAUGUCUGAAAAUGGGUCGAUGAAUAUGCUAAAUAUGGACUCAGAUCUAGAUCAGAUUUAUCCACGAAACAAUCAAGAGGAUUCAACAUUUGAUAUUUAUUUUUCCUUUCUCCACCCCCAUGUUUAAUUUUGGUCGGAGGACUUGGUUGAUAGGAAUUGACAACUAUUGAUUUUCCUUUUUUUUGUUAAACAACAGACCACAAUGUCAAUUUGAAGACUUUGUUGAUAAGAAUUGACAACUGUUGGUUCUUAUUAUUUGUUUUUGUUUAAUAGAAGAUGCCUUGGAAUUCCGCAUCAUUGACAUGUAGUUGAUAUUUAAAACUACAACUAUCGGAAUUCUUAUUAAGAAAAUUACUAUGCUGCUUGCAACAUAAUCAAAGUUGUAAGUUUUAUGCCAUGCAGUUCUCUUUAUUUUCAUUUAUGUUUUUGAAUUUUCAGAAUAAAUAUGGAGAAGAAGAUCAUUAAUUUCCAAAGCUGAGAAGAAAAUAUUUUCAGAAUUAUACUACAAUGACUAUAGGGAGAUCCUGAAAAUGAGAUUCUUGAUGUUCUUCAAAUAAGUUUUGAUGGGUCAAAAGAAACAGAGAAGAAAAUAUUUCUCGAUAUUGCAUGUUUCUGUGAAGGGAAGUAUAGAGAUUAUGUGAAAAAAAUUCUCAAAUAUUGUGAUUUUGACCCAAUUAUCGAAAUAGUUGGUCCUAUUGAAAAAUCUCUAUUAACUGUAGAUGAUUUCAGCGGACUGUGGAUGCAUGAGUAGCUACAAGAAAUGGGGUAGACAAAUUGUUAGGAGGCAAUCCCCUCAGGAGCCUGGAAACUGCAAUAGAUUGUGGAAGGAAGCAGAUAUAUGCCAUGUAUUAUCACAAAGCACAAGUAAAUGUUCAGUUAGGUUGAAAACUUGCAAUUUUGGGAUCAUGAUCACUUAUUUAACUAGUUAAACCUUUGCAUAGUUUUAUCAAUAUUUUCUUUCUUUCAUUUUUUUUUUUUUGGUUCCCACUUAUUUUUUGUUAUAAUGUUUAGGAAACUGAUGUAGUUGAAGCAUCAUAUUUGAUCGCUUUAACAACAAAGAGAUGCAUGUCAGUGCUAAUGCCUUUUCUAAUAGGACCAAUCAGACUUCACAAGAGUACCAAAUUUAGGGGAGCUGAUUUCUGAAAGAUUUACAAGGUUGCAGGAGAUUCACUCAUUUUUUCUGCGUCAAAGAAGCUGAUUUUGUUGAAUUUGAAAGGUUGUACAAGUCUUUCAACUCUUCCAGGCAAGAUCUUUAUGAAAUCUCUGAAGACACUUGUUCUUUCUGGUUGCUGGAAAUUGAAGAAAUUUCUAGACGUUGUGGGAAGUUCUUUCGGAUGGAACUGAUAUUAAAGAACUGCCAUUAUCAAUUGAACUUCUAUUUGGACUUGCUCAGUUAACUCUGAAUGGCUGCAAAAAUCUCGAGUGUCUUCCAAGGACCAUAAGUGCUCUAAAAUAUCUAUCAACUUUGAAUCUCUCCAGCCCUUUGAAAUUCAGAGAGUUCCCAGAGAAAACUUCAAGCAGGGAUCAGCUCUUGGAGCUUCAUUUGGAAGGAACUGCUAUAAGAGGAUUGCCAGCAUCUAUUGAACUUCUUUCUGGCAAUGUCUUGUUGAAUUUGAAAGAUUGUAAAAAUCUCAAGAGUCUUCCAAGUACCAUAAAUGGUUUGAGAUUGCUUAGAACAUUGUAUCUCUCUGGCUGCUCCAAACUAAAAAAUGUGCCAGAGACCUUGGGGAAAGUUGAAAGCUUGGAAGUUAGAUUGUCUUGUUAGAAUCAGGCAAAAAUGCAGAAUGACUUCAACUGUGUGGAACAGAGUGCAGUGGAGACAGUAACAAAGUUAGCAAAAGCAGAAUCGCUAAGGUACUUUACAAAAUUAAUAAUUUCCUUUAUAACAUGCAGUACCGUAUUACUUCUAUGUGCAUUCCUAACAUUAUCUUCGACAGAAAGAUUCAGAUUCAUGGAAGAAGAAUGUUGAUAAGGGCAUCAAGCUAUCCACAACAGCAAUAUCAGCUUGCUCACUUGCCUGCCAUAGGCUGAUUCAAACCUCAAGAGCCAUGCCAAGGGUUGAAUCAAAUAACAGCAAAUUCACAUCUUAGGUGGCCUUUUCUUCCAGCUUAGUCACUGCAUCAUUUUUUAUAGCAGGUUCAUUCUAUAAUAAUCUCAUAGGCACAUAUCAUGAACUUUGUUUUAUCAUGCUUGCAUACUUUAUUUACUUCUGCACAGUGAUAUACACAUUCACUAUCAAUUUAAGUAGAAAUUGAUUUUUGAAUAUGCUCUUAUCCUUUACUAAUCAUAUAAAAAGCUCAUACGUCAGGGUAUAUGACUAUUUACAGCUGUCUUGCGGAUGGAUUCGUAACCUUACUUAAGUAAUAUUAUCAACAAUUUUUGGAAUUGAUGAUAUCUAUUCAUCAAUUGCAUACAACUGCAGCAUUUAUUUGAUUUUAGAACCUGGUCUUAGAGUCCAUAAUGCAUUGACAAAUACAGAAGUGAUCAAAUUACUAGCCUCUGGAGUUGCUAUUUAUGUUAUUAUUGAAGGAUGAUUCAAAUUCUUUAUGUUUGUUAGUUUUUGUUUGGGCGGGAAAUUUAAGUUUUAUCUGAGUUGACUCUAUUGACCACUGCUCGUAUCAAAAAAAUCUGAAAAAUAACUUACAACUUGUGAGGCUUGUAACCAAAAGAUGCCUAAAACCAAUUAUUUCUAAGAGAAGUGGACAGCCGUAAACCUUUCUUCCCGAGCCUUAAACAACUUCAAAGAAAAAUGUCAAGCUUUCAACCUUUAUUUUCCAAUCUUUACUUAUUUUAAUGAGAAAAUACUACAAUUUAAAAAAAUUUGAAAGAUUGUACAGGACUUAUUCCAAAAGAAUAUUUUAUUCAUUUUUCCCUAAAAAAUGCAAUUACAUUUGAAAUCCUUUCUUUGAUGUGUAGAUUACUGAAGCUAGCUUUUGUCAACAUCAAAUAGACCAUGUCUUUUCUACACUAAAGACCAAAAUCAUUCUUCAUUAUUCCUUUCGGCACAUGCUUUAGACUAAAAUUGUUGUUUGAGAAAUUAAUUAGAACACAUGAAAAUCCUUUCAUUGAUUUCUUUGAACAAACUUAAUUGGAAAUUCAAGUAAAAAAUGUCGAGCCUUUAACCUUUACUUCCCCAUCUUUACUUCUGUUAACAAGAAAAUUCUACAAUUUAAAUAAAAAAAUUCUUAAAAGAUUAUAAUGGAAUUUUUACAAAAGAGUAAAUUCUUAAAAUAUUUUAAUGGAAUUAUUCCACAAGAAUAAAUUCUUAAAAGAUUAAAGUGGAACUCACUUUGCCCUAUAAAAUGCAAUUACAUUGAAGACACCAUUAAUAACAUGCUUUUGUCAACAUCAUGUCGACCAUAUCUUUAAUCCCAUGCGCCACUAAAGACCAGAAUCAUUCUUCAUAAUUACUUUCGGCAUGCACUUUUUAUUAAACUUUUUGUCUUUGAGGAAUUAAUUAGAACACAUAAUAAUGAAUGUACAAUAAAAAAAAAAAUACUUUUGUUGUGAUUUUCACGGACGAAUUAAAAAAAAAAAGGAUUAUAAAUGUAUUUAAACAGUCCAUUAGCCGGGUCCAGCUACUUUUUUUAACAACUUUUACAAGGCAUUUCCGACUUUCGGAGAACUUUUUUUUUUUUUUUUUUUUUAACGUUUGGAUUUGAUAGAAUCUGGAUUUGGACAAUGAUAGGAGUGGUACGAUACAUACCUCAGCUUAGGAUCAAGCUUCGGGUUUGAUAGCAGGUUCGUUCUAUAAUAAUCUCAUAUGCACAUAUCUUAAUACUUAUUUUAUGGGAGAUUCCCAAUUUUCUUAUGGUGCAAUCAAUAUUUACUAUUUGUCCCUUAUUGCUUUUACAAUCUCUCUUUUGCAUGACUACUAUAAAUUUAAGUGAAAUUUAUAAGAAUAAAUUAUUCUAAAAGAAUAAUUUAAUCAAUUGAGUUGUGAUUCAGAAUAAUUUAAUCAAUUAUUCUAAAACAUUUUUGCGCGAAUCUUGAAAUGCUAAAAGCAAAUUCCCCUUUUUAAGUCCAAUUUUGAGUAGUUUUACCGCCAUUAUUAAUCUUAGAACUUUUUGUACAGCUAAGUGGUACCAAUUACAUCGAAAGUGUAAUACUUGUGCGUUGCCUUCAUUGGUAAAAAACGAAGGUAAAACUUGCAUCCUUUUUAACUGUUACUAAUAAUUUGUACGUGCUUCUCUCUUCCGCAAUUUCAUGAAAGUAUGUAAUGAACCCAAGGGCAAAUGACAAUGAAAUUUCUUACGGACAAGCAUCCUCGAAUCUACAGAUCAUCCACAAAUCUCAGCGAAUGAAUUUUUAGAUCGUCGUUACCCCAUGCAAUACAUAUCAAAUGGUACUGACGAUCAAUCAUUUUGUAUUGAGCUCCUUGCAGCAAACGAUCACUUGAAAAUUAAUCACACAUAUCUUCCCGCAAUGCAUAAUUGAAGCUACCAUUUGCAUUUUGUGAAAACGCCCUUCGCAGCCACAUCUCAGAUCUUUCUUUAUUCACAAAAUAUACAACUUCAAAGAUUAAAAUUUUUCUUUAUUCACAAACAUACAACUUCAAAGAUUAAAAUUUUUCUUUAUUCACAAACAUACAACUUCAAAGAUGUUAAGCAGUCUCUAACAUCUGUUGAGUUUGCAUUAAGUACCAUCAAUUAAAGUAUGCACCAACCAAAAAACAAGACAUGAAUAUAUUUGUGAAAUCAAUAUAUCAAACUCAAUUGGGAAAACACAAACCCAUCCUCCCUUAUUUCCACAAGAAUAAAUUCUAAAAAGAUUAAAGCGAAAUUUUUAUAAAAGAAUAUUUUAUUCACUUUGCCGUAUAAAAUGCAAUUACAUUGAAGACUCACUAAAUAAAACGCUUAAAAAAAUCCUUGCUUUUGUCAAUAUCAUGUCGACCAUAUCUUUGAUUCCAUGCGCCAGUAAAAACCAUAAUCAUUCUUCAUAAUUACUUUCGGCAUACACUUUGGAUUAAACUUUUUGUUUUCACCACCAGUUAAGUAACAUUACAAAUUAAAUCAAUUUUAGGUCUGACAAAAAGCUGCAAAUUGAAGAAAAAGGGCACAUACUAUCUUAGAGGCUAGACUUAGCUCCAAUUAUAAUUUUUUCUGAGACUCGAGUUUUAGAUUCGAGCUCUACUUUACUUGCAUGCCACAAAUUUGAAAAAAAAUGUGCAUACUAAUUUUUUUUGGAGAAAAAUGGAAUUGAAUAAUAAACGUACAGUAAAAAAUUUACUUGUGUUGUGAUUUACACAGAUGGAUCAAAAACAAUGAUUGGCGGAUUGAAUAAUGAGUGUAAAAUAAAAUUAAAAAAAUUUACUGUUGUUGUGAUUUUCACGGACGAGGGGAUUAUAUAGAAUCUGGAUUUAGACAAUGAUAGGAGUUGUACAAUACAAACCUCAGCUUAGGAUCAAGCUUCGGGUUUGAUAGCGGGUUCGUUCUAUAAUAAUCUCCUAUGCACAUAUAUUAAAAUUUAUUUUAUCAUUCAUUAUAGCAAAGCUUUUCUAUUUCGCAUAAGUAUUAUAAAUUUAAGUAGAAAUUUCUUUUUUAAUAUGCUCUUAUCCUUUAUUAAUCACGUCAAAAGUUGUGAGAGUAAAUGUUCGAAUAGUCUAUAUAUUUUUGGUUAAAUAUAUGUUUAUUUUUUAUAUUUCGAAAAAUAUCUUAAGAGACCCUACUUAUUGAAUAUAUGUACUACUGCCCUUUGUUUUUCUUAUGUUUUAUAAUAAUGCCCUUAUUACAAUUUAGAGACAUUAAUUAAUUAAUCUAUGAAAAAUGUUAAUUAACAAAUUUAACCAUAGUUAUUUAUUAGCAAUAUAUAUAUAUAUAUAAAGCUGGGACUUGAGGAGGUGAUGUGGCAUCACCAUUUCUCAUCUUUGUAUAUUCUUUAUUAUCUAAUAAAUAGAAAAAUUUUCUUUUAGAUUUGGCUUUUCAUCUUCUCAUAAUUAAUUUGAUUGUUAUUACACAAUAACAAUUAUGUAAAGAUUUUAAUGAGGCAUAUUCUUUGUAAUGAACAUCCAAGGGGGAGUGUUAUGAAUUUAUUAAAAUAAAUGUAGAUGUUCAUAACAUUUAUCUCUUAGUCUCCCCACUAUCUCCCAUUAGCAAUCUUUGGCUUCCCUAUAACUCCUACUAUCUGACAAGGAAUUAUAAUCCAUAAUUUUUCAUUAAUUUCAUUGAGUGAUUAUGUAACUAUAAAAGGAGAGCUCAUCUUUUUGUUUUGUACACACACAAUUGGAAUGAAUAAAAUCACUCUAUAAUAUAUUCUCUCAUUUUAUUCUUUAUCUUGCGUUGCUUCUUUAUUUGUAUUGCUGGCAAAUAGUUUUUUUUUUUUUUUUUUUAUAAGGCUGCCUCAUCUUAAAAAAAAACCAAUUCAUAUUUUUUAUCAGUUUUAUCAAGUGUAAAGUAAAAAAAAAGAUAAUAUUAAAUUCUUUUUUUAAAGCCGCGUGAAAUGCGGUUCUAUUUUCUAGUUAACUAAUAAUUAUCAGUUUGAAUGAACUGGUAUUUUUCAUACUCUUAUGGCAAUCUUCUAAUGAUUUAAAAUAAAAUUAAUACUAGCUAACUUAAAGCAAUAUUUAAUACCCUUGCGAUUAUAGUCCCUGUAAUAAUUAUUUAAAAAAUUAAUCUACCAAAUUAAUUCCAAAAGUAAAAUAAAAAAUUUAUAUUUAUUUUUACUUUAACUUUCUUUAUAGAUAAAUUAAUUUACAUCCUCAAGAAUAUUGUUGCAAGUGUAUUCCUAUAAAAGUAAAGAAAAAACAAGUGCAUAAGUGUAAUAUACUUAACAACAGUGAUCUCUUGAGACACUUUUUUAAAAUAUAAAAACUAAACAGAUACUUAAACAAAAAUAUAUAGAUUAAACAAAUAUUUACCCAAAAUUGAGACAUCAACCUGUAUAAUUAUUUACAGCUGCCUUGCGGAUAGAUUCAUAACCUUAACAAUUUUUUGAUUGCAACGUAGAGUAGAUGCCUUCUCGACCGUCGGAUGCAUGUGUGAAGAAUCCAAAACGGUAACCCAUAAUAGUGAGACACGUGUGAUGAAGAUUCCGUCCAAUUGUCCUGAUGAUGAGACGGUUUGGAUAUUGGAAGCUGCAUUCCCGUUGUUGGUAACAAUUUAUGUUAAAUAUGUUCGGUAAUGCAACACGUAAAAUCGUAAAAAUAUAUGAUGAAGCAACAUUUUACUUAUUUCAACCUUUACUUACUUCAAUAACAAGAUUCUAUAACUUUAAAAAACAAAAAAAAAAAUCUUAAAGAUUAUGACGGAAUUCUUCCGAAAGAAUAAAUUCUUAAAAGAUUUUAGUGGAAUUUUUCCAAAAGAAUAAAUUCUUAAAAUGAUUAUUGUGGAAUUUUUCUAAAAGAAUAUUUUAUUCACUUUGAGCUAUAAAAUGCAAUUACAUUGAGGCCACCCUUGAUAAAAUACUAAAAGAAAUCCUUGCUUUCCUCAACAUCACGUCGACCAUAUCUUUGAUUCCAUGCACCACUAAAGACCAUGAUCAUUCUUCAGAAUUACUUUCGGCAUACAUUUUUUAUUAUACUUUUUGUUUUUUGAGAAAUUAAUUAGAACACAAAAAAUUUCUCUCAUUGAUUUCUUUGAAAGAAAGCUAGGUCCUCUUUCUUAUUGAGGUACUAUAAUUUUUAAGUUUAAAUUAUUAAAAAAAUUAUAAUUAUAAAAUAAAAAUUAAUAGUAUGUAAUAAAUAUAAUUUUAAAUAAUAAUUUUCACAAAAUUAAUAAAAAUCUAAUAUAUUUUUCAGCAUACAACUUAAGUUUUAAGAUAUAGUUGUGAGUAUUUAUCAAACACGUUGGUGUUGUAAUUUAAAAGUUACAGCUGUCCAACCUCAACUUCGAAUAUGGCCUUAAUUAGAAAUUCAAGUAAAAAUUUACCAUCUUUUAUUGCUUCCAAUAAGCUCAAACAUGCAAGUUAAUUUUCUUACAUUUUAAUUUUACUUGUAUCUCAGCGUUUGCUUUGCAAGAAUAAAUGUCUUACAUAUUUAUGUCUUAUUUUUUUCAUAUAUAAAAUUAAAUUUGAAUUAAUUUAAGAGGAAAUCUUGGUUUUCUGCUCCUUGAAUUUGCUGGUUGUGUGCUGAUUAUGAUUAUUUAAGAGCCAUUUAUUCAUAACAUUUCAUUUCAAAUAAAACUAAAAUGUCCAAUGUAUUAAAAUUUGUCAAAAGUUUAUGCUAAAAAUCAUUAGGAGAAAAAUGAUUAUUUUAGUCAUUUUGCGUCCCCCGACAGAUUUUGAGGGAGAUUGGAAUCUUGUGUAAUUUGCUGUACAGAGUUAUGAUGCAUCUUUAACGACUAUUCUGUUGACUGAACUUGAUUGACCUCCGAAUGCGACCUCAUGUAGGUCCGUCCGCUGAAUACGUGUUCUUUAAAGGAUCAACUCGACCCGUAUUUGCCCCGAUAUUGACCCGCGUUUGGUUUGACCGCAGGAUGUAUGUGACAUGUCUUGUUGGCCGUUGAUCCGCGUUGUGUGAGGGUACUGGAUGGUUGACGUUGUACCUAGACAUUAUUUUGAUUAUAUUGAACGCGGUCCAAGGGUUCUAAAGCUGCCACGUACACUGCUACUCCGAACCUUUGAUUUAAUUCAAUUUUGGUGGAUCCAACGGCCAUUUCCCUCAUCUCUUUAAAAUGUAAAAGCAUCAUUUUAAGCACUACAGGCUGUCGAUUUCGAGCGAGCUUACAAGUGUAUGGGAAAAAUUUAAAGUAGGAAAACUACGAGACUGUAGUUUGAUAUAAUUUUUCACUAUAUUAAUGAGAUUACAAUACAAAUUACUCUCUAAAUAAUGCUAGAGGCUACCAACAUCUAGAAUCUCAUUAUUUUUAGCUUAUAGUAAUCCCCGAAGAACUAUCUCUCUAACAAGUGGGUAUCUCAAAUAAUAGCCAACAAGAGGAUAAAAUAAAAAUCAAGACUAGUAGGAUUAUAGAGGGCGAUGCCAGGAAUUUACCCUCAAAAUUUAAGAGAAAAUGGAGUUAAUUUCGUCUUUUAAUCACCCAAUUAAAGAUUUAAAUAACUAUUCCCUUCUACUGGCUUUCUCUCUCUCUCUCUUGCCGCUUUUUCUUCUCUGCUCGUCCUUUUUAUUAAGUGAAAACUAGGGCUACUGCUUGCUUUUAUAGCCAAAUUACUUGGCGAUUUUCAUCGAAGUCCAAGGCUUAGUAAUAAUUACAAACCAAGCAAACUUAUUUAAAUUUUGGGCCCCAAAUGAGAUGGACCCAACAAGGAAGAAUUUAGUGACUUCUUACUUUUAUGUCCUUAAAAUUUACUUUUAAACCCUAGAUUUUUGAGAAAUACUUUUCUGAAGGGUUAGAAGCUAAUGUUUUAGAUUGGAUUUUUUUCAAACAUCAAGAAUUAAUUAGCAUUUAUUUUCUUCUCUUGUCUUUAGCUCCACCAAGUUCGUUGAUACAAGGUCUUUGAGCUUGAAGGUGUUAAAUUUAAGACGGAUUCUCUCACACCGAUUAUCAUUUUACCCUUAAAUUUUUCUCCUCAGCAAAUUUUGAUGUUUAACUCAUGUAGGAAAAAAAAUUGUGAGGACUGUGCGGAUUUUUUUUUUAAUUAAAAAACACUCUAAGGUGGGGGUUAGGCAGGACCCCCAUACCAAUAGAUUAAUAAAAUUAAAGAAAAUUCAUAUGGAGGGGGAGACAUAUUCCAAAACCUCUAAGCACGGGAACAAAUACACUCAACAAUUAGAAAAAUAACAAAAGCUUAGAAGAUACGAGUAAUUAACGCAACCGGCUACAGAAUAGCAUACAAUUCUUGGGCCAGUAACUAAUGUGAAACCUUUCUUAGAACCGGAGGCAUACAACCAGGCAAUACUAAAGUCAUCAACAUCACGCCCUCUAGUACCCUUAGGCCCAAAUGCAAAAUAUUCAUUAGUUGCAAGAUUCUCAUCAAAGCUAAACUCCUCAUCAGACUGAAAAGGGAUGUCCGUAGAAUGGCAAUUGAAGCCCACGACCAUGGAGCAAAUAUCCUCUACAACAGCUUGAAAAAAAAGUAGCGCCAAUGGAAGCCCUUUAAACACCCGGAUAAUCUAAAAAAUAAAGAGGAGGGUUAGAGACCUUAGAUGUCUGAACUCUUUUCAUAAAAACUGGAUCAUACCCAUCUUCUGUAGUAUCCUGAUAAAUAGGCGGCUAAGCAUCUACCGAAACAUCCUUGCCAGCACCAGGCCUCAAUGGCUUAACAUCUUCACGAUCCCCCUUUAAAUGCACAAUAGCAUCAUAUAUAGGCACCUUGCCUUUAUCACGAACAACAACACCUUGCACCUGACCAACAGGCUGCUGGGGCUCCUAGAGCCCAGGAUUAGCAACAAAACAAGCAUCAGCAGCUUGCCAAGAUGCUUACACGAGACACAAUAUAAAGGAACACACUAAAAAUUGACAAUCUUGCCAGCAACUGCCAUCACCCUCACCAGUCCAAAGUUUGGGCAACAACGACCGCAAAACAUCAUAUUCAAUCAGAAUUCUAGUGAUUAAGGGCCGAUUAACAAUAGUAGUAGCAUGGUCCACCCGUAGAGGCUUACCAAUAGCAUUAGCAGUAGAAAAUAAGGCAUCUUUGUAAUGAUUAAAAUGCAUUAGAAAAUACGACAAAGAAACCCAAACAGGAACAAAAGGAGAUUCCUCAGAGCACCAAAAUAACGUCUAUGAGACGUAGCUACAUGAGACUCAAACCCAAGACCUAAAUCUUGGUAAGGAUGCCCACCUAAAUCCACUUGGAAAAUGUUCAAAUGUAUUUUAGAUAACGUAUUUCAGUUUGUGAGGCUUAACACAAUAGAAUGUAGAUUCGAGAUAUUUACAGGUGCGAAGCUUUGUGAGUGUUGUUGAUCCACUUUAACUUACAUAUUUUCAUAGUGAAUUGUUCUGUCUACAAGUGGACAUAAUAACAUGUUGAGAUUUUUAUCCUAAAUCGUGAGGAUCAAAGGUUUCUUCGUAAAAAAAUCUUCGUGUUGCGGAUAUUCAUUUAUUUUGCAUAUUUAUUUUCAUUACCAUAAAUUGAUUUUUAAAUUUAUUCUAUUGAAUUAUCCUUACUAACUAGGAAAGUAAAUCAUUAACUUUAAAGAGAUUAUUAUUAUUACUAAUUAUAUUGAGAUAGCGAAAUAAAAAAUAAAAUUAAUAAUAAAAAUAUUUACUUUAAAUAUCAAUUAUUAUAUAUACACAAUAAAAAAUAAUUUAUAUGCAUAUUAUAAAUAUGUAAAUAAAUUUUAUUCAAAAUUGUGUCCACUUACAAUCAUUUACAUUCAUGUUAUUUACAAUAUUAUUAUAAUUUAAUAGUAAGAUUUACAAAACACAUACAAUUGUUUUUAAAAUUCAUAGAGCUUUUGAAAAUUGGAUCAAACGUUUAAUUGGUUAUCUUUAUAGUUGAUUAUUUCUAUAAUACAAUUAAUAGUAAUUAUUUUAAAAACUAUAAUAUUACCAAAAUGAUCCAAUAUCUUUUAAGGACCCAACUGAAAUCUAACGAAUAAAGGUUACCAUUCCUAUAGAUUGUCAAUAGUUUUAACUACUUUUAAUUAAUUAUUAAUAUCAACCAUUGGAUUCCAAUCCAUUUUAUAUUGCGUUUACUAAAUUGGAAUCGGAAUGGGUUGAAAUUAGAAUGAGUAAGAAUGGGAAUGAACUGAAAUGAGUAUGGAUAAUGGGAAUUAAAAUAAGGUUUUUACUUGAACUGCAGGAAUUAGAAUCGGAAUGAGCUGAAUUGCCAUUAAUGUAUUUACUUUGUCUUUAAAUUAGAAUAAGAAUGAGUUACAUUGUAACUUAUUACUAUAAAGUACAUAAUGAACUAUUCUCAUCAUUAUUAUUUUAUAUUUUAAUUACAGCGAUUAUUUAUUAAAAAUGAUGAUUAUUAUUAUUAAUUAUUGUUAAUAAUACAUAAUUUAAUUAUAUUUAUAUACUAAUUAUAAAAUAUAUUAAUUAAUAAUAAAUAUUAAUUAUUGUGAUUAUUUAUUAAAAAUUAUAACUAUUAACAAUUAUUGUUAAUAAUAAUUAAUAUAUUAAUUAAUAAUAAUAACUAUAUUAAUUCUUCAAUUAUAGUAAUAUUUUAUAAUUAUUAUUAAUUAAAUAUAAUUACUAUUAAUAAUUAUUGUUAAUAAUUAAUUAUAAUAAUAUAUUAAUUAAUCAUAAAUGAGGAUAAAAUGAACAUUUUGAUUUUUGGAGAGGGGUAAAAUGAUCAAUCCAUCAAAUAAGAGACUCACUACCACAUCCUCCUUAGAAUGAGUCUUCCAUUCCUCAUUUUCAAAUUGUGGUAGGGUAAAUAAUAUCAAUGAAGUCCUUCAGUUUAGUAAAAUUCUUCUGUUACCCACAUAAUUUUAGUUUUGAACAAUUUAAUCAUCCUUAGUUUUUCAACAAUUACUUCUAUGUGAAUUGCUUUCGGUGUUGUUCAACAUAAUAUUAUCAGACUCAUGGAACAAGAAUGUUGAUAAGGUUAGCAAGUAAUGAAAAGCAUAACUGGUCAAGGAAACUCAGGCUCAGAUUCUUACCAGUCCUACAAUUAACAACUGGAAAAGUUAAAUCAAAUAAUAGCAAAUUCAAAUCUUAUGUGGCCACUUCUUUUGGCUCAAUCACAGGUUCAGUUUUGAUAGUAGGUUCUCUAAUAACAUGAUCUUAAUUUUAUCAUGCUUGAAUGCUUGGCUUUACUUCUGGCACAGAUCCAUUUCCAUGCACAUUCACUUUCGCAAAGUUUCUCCGUUUUGCAGGACUACUUCAAAUUCAAGCAAAACUUACAAGCCUUAAUUGCCGAAGAAUGAUUCAAAUUCGUAAAGUCCGAAGUUUUGGUUUUGGCGGGAAAAUCAGAAGCUCAAGCUGCUAGCGCGGAUUCCACUUGUUAGGUUCAUCUCAUUUGGGGCCCCAAAGCCGAAAGUCCAAAUAAAUUUGCUUGGUUUGUAAUUAUUAUUAAGCCUUGGACUUGAGUGAAAUUUGCCAUGUAAUUUAGCUAUAAAAGCAAGUGGUAGCCCUAGUUUUCUCAUCACACAAAAGGAUGAGUGGAGAAGAAAAAGCGGCAAAAGAGAGAGAAAAGCCAGUAGAAGGUUGUAAUUUGGGAAUAGUAUUUUCAAUCUUUAAUUGGGUGAUUGGAAGUGAUUUUGACUCUGUUUUCUCCCAAAUUAUGAGGGUAAGUUCCUGGCCUCACCCUCUACAAUCCUACGGGUGUUGAUUUUUAUUUUAUCCUCUCUUUGGCUAUUAUUUGAUAUACACACUUGUUGGAGAAAUAGUAAUUAGGUUGUUACUUUAAGUUAAGAAUAAUGAGAUUCUUGAUGUUGAUAGCCUCUAGUAUUAUAUAGAAAAGAAUUUAUGCUGUAAUCCAUUAAUAUAGUGGAAGACUAAAUCGGACUAUGGUCCUGUGAUUUUUCUCGUUUUAGGUUUUCCAUGUAAAAAUUUAUACCUCUUGUAGUUGGUUUUUGCUUUGGAUUUAUUGGUUUAUUUUUCUGCCUAUUUAUUUGUGGUACACAUCUUAUUAUAAUCACACAAAGAGGGAAAGAGUUUUGUUUUUGCUAAAUUUACAAAUGUUUAUGAUAGUUCCUUUCCCAACUGAGUGGUAUCAGAGCCAUGUUGUGUGUUUUAUUACUUGUGUGGUUGAGAUGGAGGAAUCCUCGGCCUGCAUGAUUAAAGUAAAGUAAUGGAAUUAUUGUAUUUGAAAGUCUCGAAUGGAAGAUUUGUUAUACAUAAAAGACUUACAUGAACCCAUUAAAAGCGAAGAAGUUAGACACGCCGAUUUAGAUGAUAAGAAAUUGGCUCAAUUAAACCAGAAGGCUGGGGGUACUAUUAGAUCAUGGAUUGAUCAGAGUGUGUAGCACCAUGUCACGAAGAAAUCCAAGGCUGAUGUUCUUUGGAGAAAAUUAGACACAACUUAUGAGCAGCCGACAACACAAAAUAAAGUCAAUCUGAUGAAAAGACUUGUUAAUUUGAAAUACAAGAGAGGCGCAAUAUAACUGAACACACUAAUGAGUUUCAGUGAUUUGUUGAUCAGUUGACUACUAUGAAAAUUAUUCUAGAUGAUGAGUUACAAGCAUUAUUGUUGCUUAGUUCUUUGCUUGGCAGUUGGGAGAAUUAGUGGUUUCAGUGAAUAAUUCAGUGUCGAACAGAAAAUUAACCUUGGAUAUAGUUACAGAUAGGUUGCGGAAUGAAGAAUCUAGAAGAAAAAGUGUUGAAGCACUUUCUUCUAAACCAGAUGCACUUGUUUAAUAAAAGCAAGAAAGGUAAAGGAGAAGCCAAAGUAGAAAUUCCCACCAGCAGAAUAAUGAUAGGCCCAUAGGAAGAUCUAAGUCCUAGAGGAGAAACAUAAAGUGCUUUCAUUGUCAGAAAAUGGGUCACGUUAAAAGGGAGUGUAGAUUGUGGAAAAGAGAACAGGCGAAAGAAAAGGGUGAUACUUAGAAAAAUGACAAAGAAAACACUACAGCCAUAGUUGACGGUGAUUUAGGUAUUGUUUAUGAUGAAAACUCAAUAAAUCUCACUUGCCAUUCCAGUGAUUGGGUGAUUGAUUCUAGUGCUUCACUUCAUAUUACUGCACAUCGUGAUUACUUUACAUCUUAUGUUAAUGGUGAUUACGACCAUGUUCGGAUGGGAAAUGAAGGGGCAUCCAAGAUUGUAUGCAUAAGAGAUAUUUGCUUGGAGACCAGCACUAGUUGUAAGUUGUUGCUUACAGAUGUCAGACAUGUACUCGAUAUUCACCUCAAUUUGAUCUCUACAGGCAAAUUUAAUGAUGAUGGUUAUAUUAACGAAUUUGGUGAAGGAAAAUGGAAGCUCACCAAAGGCUCUCUAGUGUUAGUUAAGGGGAGGAAAGUAAAAACUCUAUAUAUGAUAGAAGCUAAGAUAAAGAAAGAAUAUGUGAAUGUGACUGUAAAAGAUUUUAACAUUGAGACAUGGCAUAAAAGACUUGGUCACAUUAGAGAGAAAGGGUUAGAAACUCUUGUCAGAAAAGGAUUUCUACACAGCUUCACAGGUAUGUCCUUCAAGACUUAUGUUCAUUGUUUAGCUGGAAAGACACACAGCGUAGCUUUUAAAAGUUUUUCUCCAUCUAGAAAGUCGCAAAUCCUUAAUUUGAUUUACACUGAUAUUUGCAUGAUGCAAAGUAGAUCAAUAUGAGGUGCACUUUAUUUUGUGACUUUUAUUGAUAACUAUUUUAGAAAAGUGUGGGCUUUUGCUUUAAAAUCUAAAGAUUAGGUGCUUGAUAUAUUUAAGUUCUUCCAUACUUAUGUUGAGAGAGGGACAAGAAGAAAGUUAAAAUGCGUUAGGGCAGAUAAUGGUGGUGAGUACAAAUGGCCAUUUGAGCAGUAUUGCAGAUCCCAUGGGAUCAGAUUUGAGAAGACUGUACCAAAAACCCUACAGCAGAAUGGUGUUGUAGAAAGGAUGAACAGAACAAUUGAAGAGAGGGUCAGAUAUAUGCUUUCUGAUGCGAAGCUUCCUAAAUCCUUCUUGGCAGAGGCUAUGCGUACUGUAGUUGACUUGAUUAACCUUUCUCCUUCAGCUCCAUUAGAGGGUGAUGUACCUGAGCGAGUUUGGACGGGGAAAGAUGUUUCUUAUAAACAUUUGAUAGUGUUUGGUUGCAGAGCAUAUGCUCACAUCCCUAAAAACGAGAGUUUGAAGUUUGAUGAUAAAGCCAAGGAAUGCAUUUUUUUAGGCUAUGGGCAUGAAGAAUUUGGGUAUAGAUUAUGGGAUCCAGUGGCAAGGAAAUUGAUCAGAAGUAGAGAUGUUGUGUUCCUUGAAGAUUAGAUAGUUGGUGAUGUAGUGAUGAGUGAUAAGUCUCAGUCAUCUCCAGAGAUUCUUAUUAUUCCAACUUCAGUUUCUCCACUUAUGAUUCAUGAUGAUCAUAGGGGAACUAAAGAGGAUAAUAAUGAUGGUCCAGCAAAAACAGUUGACCAGGCACCUCUAGAACCACCAACACCACCAGUUGAGCCAUAAUUGAGAAAAUUUAUCAGAGAACGGUGACCUUCUACUAGAUAUCCUCCACAUAAGUAUGUGAUGCUUACAGAUGUAAGGGAGCCAAAAUGUUUUGAAAAAGCCAUGUCUCACCAGCAUAAUAGUGAGUGGGUUAAAACCAUACAAGAAGAGAUGAAAUCCUUGAAUGAGAACCACACUUAUGACUUAGUGAAGCUUCCUAAGGGAAAGAGAGCACUGAAGAACAAGUGGGUUUAUAGGUUGAAGAUUGAAAACAACUCACAGCAGUGAUAUAAGGCUAAAUUGGUUGUGAAGGGUUUUGGUCAGAAGAAAGGUAGGUAUUGAUUUUGAAGAAAUACUUUCUCCUAUGGUAAAGAUGUCUUCUAUCGGAGUUGUUCUGGGACUAGCAAUUAGCUUGAACUUGGAGAUUUAACAGCUCGAUGUAAAGAUAACUUUCUUACACGGUGACUUGGAGGAGGAAAUAUACAUAGAGCAACCUGAAGGAUUCAGUGUCAAAGGUAAAGAAGAACUUGUGUGCAAGUUGAAGAAAAGUUUGUAUUGACUGAAACAAGCACCAAGACAAUUGUAUAAGAAGUUGGAUUCUUUCAUGGAGAAUCGUGAUUUCAACAAGACUAUGUGCGAUCAUUGUGUUUUUGUGAAGAGGUUUAGUGAUAAUGGUUUUAUUAUCCUUUUGCUUUACGUGGAUGACAUGUUAAUUGUUGGCCAGGAUGCUAGUAAGAUUGGCAAUCUGAUGAAGAAGCUUAGCAAGUCGUUUGCAAUGAAGUACUUGGGACCGACAAAAUAGAUUCUUGGCAUGAGAAAGGCGACGAGUGCUUGUUGCGAAUCCAAACUAAUUGCUCAACUUACAUGUUUAUGAUAUUUGUAACUAGCUAAUUGCUUCACUAUCUUUCAAAUUAUUUCUUUUUUUCUUUUGAAAGUGUUAAUUUUUUUUCCGCAUUGAAAUUAAGACCAAAGACAGUGUUUUAACCCAAAUCUAUUUUAGAAAAGUAUUACAUACUGUGAGAACACUUAAUUAUUUAUUUUUUAAACUCUUGGGUAAGUCUAAUCCAACCCCGUACUUGCAUGGAACACUUUGUUUCGUAUACAAAUACAAUUAGUUGUUAGUAAUAAGUUUCGGCCAAUUUGCUGUAAUUCUUUUCCUAACAAUUGUCUUUACCGGCCUUUUACCACUCUGGUUACUCUCAUGACCUACAUUAAUGGUGCUUUUACUCAUGGGACUUAAGAAUCAAAAUUCAGAAUUAGAAUGAUCCGUAGUGUGUACUUCUUAGAAUAGAAGAGGGAAUGGAAAUGAACUAGAGGGGCUCCUACGUUUCUGGAAAAUUUGUGAAAUUUGUUCAAACCUUUUGUGAAAUUUGUUCAUGGAAUUCCUAACUAGUUACCGCCAACAGCAGAGGUGGAUUACUAGCAAUAAGCAUACAAAUUAGAGUCAGCAAUUUUUAUAAUUUAUACAUAUGGCUAGUAAAUAAAAAGUAAAAUAAAUCAAUCAAUAUAAAAGUGGUAAAUUGAUGUUUUAAAAUUAAAAAUUAAAAAUACUUGUAAAAAUAAUAUAAAACUUAUAAAACAACAUUAAACUUUAACUAGACUAGAAAAUAGUUGAUUUAUUUAUAAAUUAUGCAAAAAAAUUCACUAAUCAAGCAAAAAAAAUCACUCAUUAACUGAAAAAAAAAACUGUAUUUAAAUAAUUAGAAUAAAUUUUAUUGAAUUGGUUUAACCAUGAAUUCUAUAUUUAUCCUUGGAAAUUUAUAAUUUUUUUCAUUUUCUAUCAUAAUAUUUGUUUACUACACAGAAAAAUUAAUUUUUUUUAAAAUGUAGAUCAAGCCAAAAUAAAAUAAAAGUUAUUUUUAUAUUACUAGACAUAUAUGGUAUAUGAAUAAAAUUAGAAUUAAUUUUCAGUUUUAUACAUACUUUAUCUAGUUUUAAACUUUACUUCUUAUACUUAAAGAUCAUUUAGGGUUAUUGCCGAAUAAGUUUAGAAGGAUGCAAAAUUACCUUAUCUUAUAAAUAACUUUAAAAAAACAUAAAAAGAGUUUUAUUCUCUCAAAUACAAGCUUUUAGCGCGGCAUGCAAAAUACACCCCGUUUAAAUCUAAUCACACCUCUCUAAUUUUUUUCUUUUUUUCGCCACUAUGAGGUAAUGAAGUAGUUAAAAAGUAUAACCUUUAGAAUUUAGAUUCCUUUCGCUUUUUUGCUUUUUUCACCCCCACUUUCUGAGAUGACCAAGACUUGCUUUUGGAAUACAUAUAAAUUAAUCUGGGGCAGCUGGAAGUUGCAUUUUCUUUUCCAAAAGAAACAUAUUUGCCUGAGAUUAACUUCUUUCCUUUGAAUCAAGACACUUCAUUGGAGUUGAUCAGAUCAAUCAGGUGGCUUCGUUCAACACACUUAAAGCUGUAAGUUUUAUUUUAUACAUUUCUCUUUUAUCCUCAGAAUUAAUUUGCACAUCCUGGAUGUUUAAAAAAGGAAAUAAAUAAAAUUGGAAGAAAGCUUUGAAUGGUAAUUUAAUUUGUAUUGUAUCAACUCCUUAAUUUGCUUCAUUUUGAGGCUCUAAUUAAGAUUUACUUAAGUAAAAGUCGGCAAACACGCUCUCCAAUCAUCAUCUGAAAAACUUUUUUAUUGUAUUUUGGAAGUAAAUGAGAGGCUGUCAAUUAGUUUGUUUAGUUAAGAAGAAGAUCAUUAAUUUGUUGUUCAAUAAUUUUAUGUUAAAAGAAAUUAUUAAAGUAAUUAUGUUACAUUAUUUUUCUCUUUCUCUCUAUUUUCUCUUUUUUAACACUAAUAAUUAAUAAUUUUUAUCUCCUUGAAUUUCGUAAGUCUCGAUGAAUCUUCAGGUUUGUAAAUUUUUUCUUUAGAUCUCGAUAAAUAACAUUUGACAAUAUUUGUUGAUCAGGCUGUGUUAUAAACAACGCAGAUUUUAUAAGUUAAAUCAAUUUUCACUGGAAGCUUUUAAACAGUAAUUACAGUUUAGCAUAAUUUUUUUUAAGUGUAUGGAUUUUGCAUCUUUCUAUGAUAAAGAACUUUAAUUUUUCUUUCUGUAAGGGUGGUCAUCCAACCCCCCCACUAUUGAUUAGUUUAAAAAAAAUCAAACCAACCAAUCAAAUAAAUAUGUUCAACCCAACCCAAUCUUAUCCUUAAAUCAUUGUGCUGGGUCAAUCGAAUUGAUUAAAACUAAAAAUGAAACAAGUUCAAACAUAAAAGUUGAAAAAAAAAAAAAGCUAUUUGCUACUUAAAAUCAAAUUCAAACAGUAAAAAGCAUAUUGAUUCCCACCUGGCUGGACUCCAUUAAAGUUUCAGUAAUAAAGAUCAUUAUGUUUACCAUUAAUUCCUAUAGAUUGCUGAUAAUUUUAAUAUUUUUAAUUAGUUAUUAAUAUCAACCGUUGGAUUCCGCUCCAUUUUAAUGGAAAUAUGGAAUCCAAUGGUUUCAACACGGCUAAUGGGCAGAAUGGCAAAGAUGCGUAUACAAUUGAAAAGCCUGAUAAUUUUCGUUUAGAUUCCUUGAAGCUUCCAGGAAGUUCGAUGCUAAGUUCAUCGUGUGAGUAAGCAGUGACAACAUUUAUUGAUUAUUAAAGAGGCCACUUUUUGACAACAACACAACUCCUAUUGCUUAAUUUAUUUUUUCCCAAAGGAUAUUUACAUGAAUAAAUUCUUUGAAUCAAACACUGCAUCGGAGUUGUGGUAAUAAUAAUAAUAAUACUGCAUUGGAAUUCAUUUAAGGGCUUCCUGCAAUACACUCAAAAGCUGUAAGUUCUAUCUCAUAAAUCUCUCUCUUUUAUUUUCAGAAUUAAUUUUGCACAUCUUGAUGUAAAAGAAAAAAAUGUAAAAAUUGAAAGAAAUCUUUGAAUGUUAAUUUCGUACAAACUCUCUGCUUUCUUUUAGAGGCUAUAAUCAAGAUUUGCUUAAGCAGAGAUUGGUGUGCACACUCCCCGAUUAGCAUCUAGAAAAAAUUUAUAUUACAUUUUGGGGUUUAUCAUGUGUAAAGAAUUUAGAUCUAUUUUAAUCAGCAUAAACAAAUUAAAACGGUAGAUAUAUUAAUUUUUCUAAUUAAUUAAUCCUGAAAUUACUGUUCACGGAUUACUGUUUAUACAAUAUUGUUCAUGCAAUACUAUUUAGACUCACUAUUCAUACGAGUUACUGUGUAGGUUGUCAAAAAAAGUAGAAUUUAUAUAUAAUUUAUAAAAUUUUCAUUUUUGUGAUGCCCAUAAUUUUGAAUGAAUCUUAUUGUUUGCAUAGUAUUGUGCGUUCACUGGAUUUCACUUGAUUUAUUCUAAAUUUUCAGGAACAAAUUAAUAUAAUGGCUUUCACGAGCUGCCAAGAUGUCUCUCAUAGGAAAUACGAUGCCUUCUUAAGCUUUAGAGGAGAAGACACCCGUCAAACGUUCAUAAGUCAUCUCUAUACUGCUUUGAACGAUAAAGGAAUUUAUGUAUUCAGGGAUGACAAACAACUUGAGAAAGGAGGAUCCAUUUCACCAAAUCUCCUUAAAGCAAUUGAAGAAUCAAGAAUUUCAAUUAUUGUUCUCUCAAGAAACUAUGCUUCUUCCACUUGGUGCUUGGAUGAACUUGUCAAGAUUGUUGAAUACAAAGAUAGAGAGGAUCAAAUUUUUCCAAUUUUCUAUGAUGUGGAACCAACUGUUGUAAGGAAACAGACAACAAGUUUUGGAGAAGCUUUUACCAAACACGAAGAAUUUUUCAGGGAUAAUAUAGAAAAAGUACAAAAGUGGAGACACGCUUUAAAAGUGGUGGCCAAUAAAUCAGGUUGGGAAUUGAAGGACAGGUAAUCAUUCUUAUUCUCAAAUAUUAUUAUUAUUAUUAUUAUUUUGUUCUGCAUGAUUAGUAUUCAUGAUUCAACAUUGUUUUCAAUUUAACAGCUUCUGUUUAAUAUGUAUAUAUAUCAUAUGAUGUGUCGUUAUUAAAGUAGUAGUGCUAUAAAUGCAUUAAUAUUUGCAAAUGAAUAGAUAUGGAUGUUGAUACUAUAAAUUAUUGUGUUCUGAACUAUUGAAGACUAUACAUAUGUAUCUUGUGUUGCUUUGUGCUCUAUUAAUCACAUCUAAAAAAUAAAAAUAAAACAUUACUCUUAGAUUGACUCUUUAGUAACUGUUAAUAAUAACAAUGACAAUAAUCGCAAGCCCAAUGAUACCAUCAAUAUCAUUACAUAUUUAGCUAAUUGUAGUGCUACACAUCUCAAAUUUUUUAUUUCAAAAAACCAUCCCAAAAUGAUGUGACGUCCAUCAAUUAGUUCUUGAAAUAAUAUAAUUAACUCACUCGAAUCUUCUAAAGAAUUAUCAACCACUUAUUAAAUGACACAUCAUUUGGGACAUUUAUCAUCAUCAUCUAAUUGAUUUCAUGUGAGCAAUAAUUGUUCUUAUAAAAAAUUGAUAUAAAUUCUCUUUUAAUCUAAUUUAUCCUCCUACAGAAAGAAAUAAUAUGUACAUGAGAAGAAAACAGCAAAAGAAAUUGAAUUUUCUCAUUCUUGUUGUUUCUAACCCACGCGAUAAUAUAUGUUACUUGCUUAUACGACUUCAAUUUGAUGAAAUGAAUAUUAUAUAGUUUGGAUUGUAUGCAUAAUAUGGAAUUGAUUUGUUACUAUGUUUACACAAACUUUAAUUUAACAACAGUAAUCUUCUCUUGUUGUUUUCAAUUUGCAGCAAUGAGUCAGAAUUUAUUGAGGAAAUUGUCAAUGUGAUAUCAAGUAAAAUUCGUACAGAGUCAGAGAUUCUUAAGGAGCUAGUAGGAAUAGAAUCACGCUUGGAGAAACUGAAGUUUCUUAUGGGUGCAGGGUGCAAUGAUGUUCGUAUGAUAGGGAUAUGGGGUAUGGGAGGUCUAGGAAAGACAACUCUUGCAAGAGUUGUUUAUGACUUGAUCUCCCACGAGUUUGAUGGUAGUAGUUUUCUUGCUGAUGUUAAAGAAAAAUAUGAUAAAGAAGGCAGUGUAAUCUCUUUGCAAAAGCAGCUCAUUUCUGAUUUACUGAAGCUUGCGGAUAAUAACAUACGAAAUGUCUAUGACGGUAUUAACAUGAUAGGACGUAGGUUGCGACAAAAAAAGGUCCUUCUCGUGAUCGAUGAUGUCGCUCAUGUUGAGCAACUACGAAGAUUAGCUGGAAAGCGCGAUUGGUUUGGCCCGGGCAGCAGAAUCAUAAUAACAACGAGGGAUGAACAUUUGUUGAAGUUGCAUCGAGUCGAGGAAGUUUUUAAGCUUGAGGCACUAACUUAUGAUGAGGCAUUCCAACUCUUUUGUUUGAAAGCUUUUGAAACCCAGAAGCCCAGGGAAGAAUAUGUUCAUCUAUCUCAACUUGUUGUAAAUUAUGCUGGUGGUCUUCCAUUAGCUCUCAAGGUUUUGGGUUCUUUUUUGUUUGGUAGACCUGUGGACGAGUGGACAAGUACCUUGGAAAGACUAAAAAGAGAACCUGAAAAUGAGAUUCUAGAUAUACUCCAGAUAAGUUUUGAUGGCUUGAAGGAAGCAGAGAAGGAAAUAUUUCUCGAUGUUGCGUGUUUCUUUAAAGGGGAGAAGAGAGAUUACGUGUCAAAAAUUCUCGAUAGCUGUGGUUUUGAACCGGUAAUUGGCAUUGGUAUUCUUAUUGAAAAAUCUCUAUUAACAAUAUGUGAGAGCGACAGACUAUGGAUGCAUGAUUUGUUACUAGAAAUGGGUCGACAAAUUGUUAGGAGGCAGUCCCCACGGGAGCCUGGAAAACGCAGCAGAUUGUGGGAGGAAGCAGACCUAUGCCAUGUAUUGUCACAAAACACAGUAAGUGACUAAUAAAGGGGAUCGGAAAAUUUUUUUUCUUUUACCCAGUAAAAUCUCUAAUGAACUAUUUUGUUGAUAAUAUUUAGGGAACUGAAGUAGUUGAAGGAAUAAUACUUGAUGAUUAUUACUUUCUCCAAGAUAAGGUUUAUUUAAGUGCUAGUCCGAAAGCAUUUUCAAAGAUGACCAACCUACGAUUGCUCAAAAUCUGUGGUCUGCAACUUCCUCAAGGCCUUGAACACCUCUCUAACAAGUUGCGGUUACUUGAUUGGCAUGGAUAUCCUUGGAAAUCUUUGCCAUCAAAUUUGGAAUUGGAUAAAACUGUGGAGUUUAAAAUGUGUUACAGCUGCAUUGAAGAAUUAUGGAAAGGAAUCAAAGUAAGAUCAAUGUUUUGUCACUAAUUUUUUUUUUUAGUGAAUAAUUGUUGAUGACAAUUUUAUUAUUAUAGCUGUAUAUAAAUUAAGAAAUAUCAUUUCAGCUCCUUUUUGUUUUCAACAGCCUUUAAACAUGUUGAAAGUCAUGGAACUCAGCCAUUCAGAGAAUCUGAUUAAGACUCCAGACUUCACAGAGGUCCCAAAUUUGGAGGAGUUGGAUGUUGAAGGAUGUACAAGGUUGCGUGAGAUUCACCCAUCUUUACUGCUUCACAAUAAGCUGAUUUUGUUGAACUUGAAAGGUUGUACAAGUCUUACAACUCUUCCGGGAAAGAUUUUUAUGAAAUCGCUUAAAACACUUGUUCUUUCUGGUUGCUUGAAAUUGAGGAAAUUUCCACACGUUGCGGGAAGUAUGGAGUGUCUGCGGGAACUUCUUUUGGAUGGAACUGAUAUCAAAGAACUGCCACUAUCAAUUGAACUUCUAUCUGGACUUGUUCAGUUGACUUUGAAUGACUGCAAAAGUCUCGUGAGACUUCCCAGCAAUAUAAACGGUUUGAAAUCACUAAAAACUUUGAAUCUCUCUGGCUGCUCCAAACUUGAAAAUGUGCC
Molecule: long non-coding RNA, 83831 nt
Filed under: Citrus maxima (pomelo)
Lineage: Eukaryota; Viridiplantae; Streptophyta; Magnoliopsida; Sapindales; Rutaceae
Description: long non-coding RNA (CMAX_LNC001932)
Source: RNAcentral